This 45895-nucleotide long non-coding RNA is filed under the name Gossypium barbadense (sea-island cotton). RNAcentral's name for it is "long non-coding RNA (GBAR_LNC008865)". The stretch from base 6402 to 6562 matches the Rfam family "U1 spliceosomal RNA". Lineage: Eukaryota; Viridiplantae; Streptophyta; Magnoliopsida; Malvales; Malvaceae. The record is from RNAcentral.
AGUAACCCACACUAAAAAUUCAGCGAAUCAGGAACACACUGGCCUAAAAGGCUACAAUGUGAACUCUGGCAAUUCAUGUACAUAUUGCAGAGAAAAAUCACUUACUUUAGUAUCAGUUUCCAUUUUCACAGGCUUGUCACCCGACUCAGCAACACCAUUUUCAGCCCCUGCAGCAUCUGCUGUACCCUUAGCAUCUUGCAUGUUUACAUCUGUCUCAUUGGCACUGGGAGCAGCAGUACCACAAGGUGCUUCAUCAGUCUCCAUCUUUGAAUUGUCUUUUUCAGGCUCUUUUGAAACUGGAACUUCAACUUCUUCCUCUUCCAAGAGCUAAAAUUACAUUAAAGUAUUCAGGAAAGCAAGGGGAAAAAAAGAAUUCAAGUUGAGAUAAAAUUAAAAUUUAAAAAGCUAAUUCAACAACUUACUGUUGCUGACUCAACGGACACAAUCCCAUGCAAAUUCAGACGAACUUUGACCUUCAAUUUUGGCCGUUCACUUCUUAUUGUCGGAAAAGGCCCAAUCUACCAUUUAAGAAAUGCCACAAUUUAUAACAAAUGAAAAAGCCGAGCAAGAAUUUAGCAUAAUAAACAAGUAACCUUAUGCUGAAGUAAACAGACUAAAAAAAAAGAUACUCAGUGUCUUAUACAAGGUCUAUGAAUUAAUUACCGUGUAUGUACUGAUCUUUGGAGGGGCCUGCAAAUCACUAACAUCAGAAUAUUGAACAUCAACAGUGAAAGUACUUGACUUGUGGAAUGUCACAGCCUUGAUACUGGGUAUUGGAUUUCCUUUUGGAAAGACAAGUUGUUGUUGUUCUGCUCCUCCAGCCUGAGAAUCUGGACCAGAACCUUUCCAUGAUAGUGAAACUGGGAAAGGGAAGCUCUCAUUGACCUUUUUCAAAUCAGACAGGUUAAGAUGUCAGCUGUGUUCAGGGGAAAAAGAGUCAAAGGACACAAAUUUGACAACAGGACAUGCAGCAACAAUAAUGGGAAUAUAAGGAAUGGAAAUACAAGGAAAAAUCUUGCAUUAUUCCGUAUUCGGGAGAAUAAAGAAAGUAACACCUUGAAAUCAUACUACAAUGCAACCAAAUGCAUACACAGCUGAGAUAACAUUCAACACAGACAGCAAAAUUAUCACGAUAACUUCGUAAAAAGUCAAUUGGAAAAUACACACCUGAAACUCUCGAACUUUGAAUGUGGGACUGAGAAUUGCACAUUCUAAAGCACAACCCCUUGCAACACAUUCACUAGCAUUCAUUGUACGCCUAGGCUCUUUACCAAAGAACUCUGUGAGGAUUUUCAACAUAGCAGGAACCCGGGAGGCUGAGCCAACAACCUCAACCAUAUGAACAUUUUCAACUGCAAGUCCAGCAUCAGCAAGAGCCUUCUCAAGUGGCCUCUUCACACGUUGCAAAAUUGGAGCACUGAUCUGUUCGAACUCCUCUCUCUUGAUGAAACCCCUAACAUCCUUCUCAUCCAUCAAGCACUCAAUAUUCAAAGGGGCCUCAGGAUUGGCACUAAGUACUUUCUUUAGCUUCUCACAAGCUGUCCGAAGCCUAAUACAAGCCCUUGCAUUCUGGAGGACAUCAAUCUUGUAUUCCUCUUUAAAUUUUGCAGCAAAAUGCUGAAAAAGAACUUCAUCAAAAUCCCUACCACCCAAAGAGCGGUCAAAUGAAUGAGCCAAGAUCUUGAGUUGCCCUUUCUUGAAGCCAGCAAUACAGACUUGCAUGCUAGCAUGUCCGAUAUCAACAAAUGCAACAUUUAAUUGGUCAUUUUCAGGUAAAUCAGUUUUAUAAAUACCAUAAGCCAAUGCGGUUGCAGUAGUUUCAUGAAUCAGGCGAAGAGGGUGCAAGCCUGCAAUUGUGGCAGCAUCUAAAACUGCUCUUCUUUGAAGAUCAGUGAAGUACACAGGAAUUCCAAUACAGCAAUCCACUACGGCUGCAUUCAAAUUCUUCUCAGCUAUGCUUUUCAAAUUCGACAAAACCAUUCCCAAAACUUGGGUUGGGGUAAAAGUUCUCAUUUCACCUAAGUACCGAGCAUGAAUCAAAGGAUAUCCAUCAGGACCCUCAGUGACAUUGAAGGGCAAUGACUUGAGAUCUCUUUGCAACUCAGGAUCUGAGAACUGACGGCCAAUUAACCGUUUUAUCUGAGAAAUUGAGUUUUUAGGGUUCAUUGUAGAAGAUGCUGCCCCUGCAGUACCAAUGAAUCUCUGCUUCUCCCCAAAGCAAACAAUAGCUGGAGUUUCGCGCUUUGAUUCAUCAUUCAGCACGACAUCAAUCCCUCUCUGCCUCGCAACUGCAACAAUGCAGCUCUCAUUGCCGAAAUCAAACCCAACAACGCUCAUCUUAAACAGAAAUUACACAAAUUUACUUUAUAAAAUAAGAUUAACCUGGCAUCCAACAAAACAAAAAGAAAUUAGAUUAUAUAUAAGCACUUAACCAGGAAAGCAAAAAAAAUUUAAAAAAAUCAUAAUCACGUUUUGAAUCUAGCCAACUGGAGUACCGUGCAAUCAUAAGUAUUAAAGAAGUGGCAAAAAUUCAUAAUCACUAUUUUAGGAAUCUAGCUACUGGAGCACCAUACUUUGCACAUUAAAUAAAUAACACAUUGCAUCAACCAAGGUGAUAUCAAUACGUUAUGGGCAACAAGUUGCUGCUCAAUAUUCCAUGUCAACUUCCAUGGACUUGAACACAUAAUACCAUUGAUAUAACAAAGAUCAUAACAAUAUUCAAUAAACAUUCCUCCUUAUGUUCCCAUUUAAAGACUCUUAUUACAUUAAAAAAAAAUCUUUAAUAUAAAUAACAAUAUCCAAUAUACAUCCCCCCUUAUGUUCUCAUUUAAAGACUCAAAAGCGCUUCAUGAGUUGAUCAUUCACACAAGAACACAGGCCAAAUAACUAGAUAAGGGUCAGAGGCAAGUGUAAGGGCUAAACAAAUGCAAGCGGAUAUAUAAUGCAACUCAAAUCAAAAUGAAAACACUUCAGUUAAAGGUUAAAAAACCAAGUAGUUCACAUACAUAAAUCAAACCAUUGGAAACAAACCCUAAAAACCUUUACAAUCAGAUAUCAACCCAAAAUGAACACUCCUUCAAAUAAAAUUAAUAAGAAAUGGGAACUCUUUGCAAUGACCAAAUCGAAAUCGCAUUCAAAUAAACCUAAAACAACUAAUUGUAACUUCAAAAUAAAUUCCAACGAUGAAAACACGUCGAAUCAUAAUAAUAAAUUCACAAAAUAUAAAAAUAAGUUAAUUUUUUCCCCAAACGAAUCGAAAAAAUAGAAAUCAAAUAAGGAAAUUACUUGAUUCUGUACAAACAGCUAAAUCUAAAGAGAAGCAAAAAUCAAUGCGAAAAAAAAAACAUCGACCGACGUGCUGAAUAUAAAACAAAACAGAUCUAAGUUCAUGACGGAUAAAUAAAUGCAACAACGACAAUUAAAAAAGAAAUCGAAAGAAGAAAAGCACAAAGAGCCAAGGGCGGCGAUCUUACCCUUGGAAAGGAAAAUUGAGGCGAAAGCAGUUCAGGAAAUUUCUUUUCAAAAAGACCUCUCUCUUUAUUUGGUGUUAUGUUCUUGUACGUUCGCGAGAGAUAGCAUACGAAAACAACCUCACACUCACAGAAGCGAAACAGAGACUUUUUUUUUUUUUUUGCGGGUGGGGGGGGGGGGGAGCGAGGGGGCUUUUAUUUACGAGGGUUUGUGUGGAAUUUUCGAUUUAAUAAUUUAUUAAAAAAGUUUUGAUUUGGAAGGAGUUAUGGAAUGGAAUUGAGUGGUGUCCAUCCACGACUAGAGGUGUCUAGAGAUACCGUGGCUUCUAGAAAGAUCUCCCCGGGAGAAAGUCUUCGGAAUUCUUUAGGUUUUUGGUGAGUUCAUGGGUUGGGCUUUCAUUUGGGAUUCUGAUUUUUCCCAAAUGGAGGCCUUUUUUUUAGGAACUGAUAUCUAAGUAUUUUUCAUUUUCAGUGAUUAUAUUGUAUAUGAUUUUAGGCGAUUAAUUUAUAAUUAAUUUUUAAAUAAGAUAUUUUUUAAUUAUUAUAAUUAAUUUUUAAUUUAUUUUUUAAAUAUAAUCAAAAUAUAUUAAUUUAUUUAACAAUUCAAAUAUAGUAAAAAGAAAUUUCUAAGUAUCAUAUUAGAAAAUUGAUAUUUUGUAGAUCAAUAAAUUUUUAAUAAUAUUAAAAUAUCUCAAAUCAUAAUUAAAACAUACAUCAAUAUAUAAUACGAUUUUACUUCAUGUAAUCAUUAUUUAAAAUAAUAACUGAUAAACACUAUUAAAAUAUAUUAAUUAUUUUAUUAAUUAUUUUGAUAACGAGACAUAGUAAUAAUAAAAAAUUCCUAUUAUUGAAGCAUUUGUAGAAACAAUAAAAUAUAUGAUAUAUUGUAAAAUAAAUUAUUUACUAUUCAAUUUUUAUUUUUAUUUUCUUAAUAGGCAAUAAAUUGAUUAAAAUAAUUUGUAAACGAUAUAUAAGAGGAGGGAUCUAUUUACACUUUUAAACCCUUUUGCAUGUUUUUGUACAAUUAAUAUUUUAAAGAUUCAACUGUUGAAUUUAUCGAUAUAAUUUUACUUGUUAUGUAUAUAAAUUAUUUAACUAAUUUGAUAUCUCUAUCAUAUCGAUCUAAAAAAGUGUCAAUAUUAAUACUUAUUGAAUGAAUUAAUUUUUUUUAAUUUAAAAUAAACAGUUCAAAAUUUUUAAUUUACACCAAAUUUGACAUGCAUGAUCUAUAUAAAUAAAAUAUGAAAUAUGAGGCUGGAUCAUUAAAAUAUUAAUCAUACAAAAAUAUACAACAGAGUGUAAAAUUAUUUUAGUUUUACUCCGGUUAUAAAAAUACGUCAACUUUUAUUUCAAUUAUAAUUAUUUUAAUUAAAAAAUAUAAUAAAUGUAAAUUAAAUUAAUAAUUAUUUUUAAAUAUGCAAUUAUCUCAAAUUCUAUUGAAUUAUAAUUAUUGUUAAGUAUAUAAUUAUUAUAAAUUUUAUUUUAUGUCAAUUUUUAAUUAAUAAUUUUAAAUUAAAUAUUAUAAUUAUUUUAAAAGUCAAUUUAGUAAUAUGAUAAAAAAUAGAGGGUAUUCUUUUCGAAUCAAAAUUUUUUUAAGCUCGUGCUUUUAAAUAAAUAAUAAAUUAUAGAUAGAUAUAAAUAGAUUAUAAAUUAAAAAUUAUUGUGUUGUAUCUCAAAUUAUUAGAUCUAACCAUUACUUGUUUUUAUCAUUUUAAACUAAUGGCUCUAAAGAGAGAAAUAUGCUUUGAGGCAUUCAUUUUUUUUUUCAAAAAAAGUGAAGAUGUGAAUUUUAGUAAUUUAAUGAUUAAGCUAUAAAAUAAAAAGAGUGAUCGUGAAUUAUUACAAAAUAAAAGAGUGAUUGUUAUUAUAACUAGCAGUUGUUUUUUAGCCGAUUAAUUAAAUAAUAUUUAAAUUUUUUUUAUAAAUUUUGUAAUACGAAAUUAAAAUUUAAUAACAUAUAAAUUUAAUUUUGAAAACAUAAUAAGAUUUAAUUUAAAUAAACAAUAUUUUGGAAUUAUUUUUAAAAUAUAAACAUUAUAAUAGCAUAUUGUGCAAAAAUUUAUUUUUUAUAUAUAGUUUUUAACUUAAUUUUAUUUAUUAGUUAAUGGAUGUAGAUUGCUAAUUUAAUUUAAAUAUUCUGGCCAUUAAAUAAUUAAUUGUAACAUUAUUUAUAUUUUUAAAUAUCUAAUUCAGUUUUAAUAGUAUAUUUAAUUUGUAAAAAUGGUGAUAAUUAAUUUAAAAAGAAUUUUUUAAAUAAUUUUAAAUUUUAGAGUGGCUUAUUUUAUAAAAUUGUUAGUUGAAUUAUUAAAUGUAGACAAAUUAGAAGGAUUUAUUAUAAAAAUAUAACUUACAAAACACAAUUAAAAAUUAUAUAAAGAAGAUAAAGUGGUUUAUGUUGCAAAUUUCCCUCCACAAAUGCUUACUUUCUUCCUUGUCACAUGUAAAAUUUUUAUAAUGUAAACAUAUUAAAAAUUUAAGAAUUUUGUAAUAUAUAUGAGUUUGAAUGGAUAAGAUGUAAUAUAUAAAAAUCAAAGUAUUUAUUCGAUCUAUCUGUUUGAAUAAAAAACAAACAAAUGUUUAAUAAUUGUGUUUGAUUGGAAAUCAAAUAAUUUUUUCUUUAAGUGUUAAUGUGUGUGUAUAUAUAUAUAUAUGACAACAAUGUGCAUACUUUUUAUAUUUAUGGGUAUUUUAAAUUACUGAUAUUUAGUAUUGAGAAGUAUUUAACACAUUACUAUAAAAUUAAGAAUAAUGUUAAUAAAAAUAAAACAAUAUUAUUAUUGAUAGAAAUCAAGAUUGAUUAGAAGCAUUGAAAGGUAAAAAUGUUUUAGAUCUUUAUGCCCCCAUUGCAACCUGAAUCCCACAUUGCUAGCAUAUGGUAAACAAAACAUAAGGAGUGGUGUAUAAAGAGAGAGGAUAGGGCAACAUUAAAACAUACUUACCUGGACGAGGUCAAUGAGUGAUCAAGAAGACUCAUGGCCUAGAGUAGUGACCUGCAUUGCACUUGGUAGGGGGCCUACUUUAAGGUCUCCCCAAGAGGGAGAACCUACGUCAUAAUUUGUGGCAGUGGGAGCUUGCGUUCGCGCAGCCCCUAUCAAUCUUAAGUUUUGAAAACUAAUUGGAAGCCAUUUGUAGGAUAUAACUGCUUUUUCCGUAUGGGUAAUUUGCUUCAAAAGAUGUUAUUAUGUGCUCUCACCUUAUCCAAUACCCUUUGGUUUUGUUUGUCAUGUGGUAGGGAUUUAGGUUCUAAGUUGUGGGCUUAGGUUGUGUUAGGGGCAUAAGGUUAAUGCUUAUAAGCACUAGUUAACAUUUUUCAAUCUCGAUUUUUAUCUGUAAUAAUAUUAUUUUAAUCAAUUAACAUUGUUCAUUUUAUAAAGGUGUAUUAAAUAUUUUUCAAUAUCAAAUGUCGGUCUUUUAAAGUGUCAGUAAAUAUAAAAAUUAUGUCCAUUGUUUCCAUAUUUAAUACAACUCAUUUUAUUUGGUAUUUUUGUAAUACCCUGAAAAUUUCUAUUGUAAGAUAUUAUCUUUGAUAAAGUAAAAUAAGGAAAUAAAACAAUAAGAAAGGGAAUUUUGAGUUAUGACAACAUUGAGAAGUAAAUUAUGAUAGAAUUAAUUCAAGAAAGGACUAAAUUGUAAAAAUGAGAAAAGUUUUGUGGUUCAAGAGUAAAUAUUCAGAACUUGAGGGGUUAAAGUGUAAAUAUGAAAAAGUUAAAGGACCAAUAGUACAAAUAUUUUAAGGCUGGAAUGAUCUAAAGACUAAGGAAAAUGGAUGAAUUAGGACCAAAUUGAAUAAAUGAAGAAAUUAUGAGGGAUUAAAUCGUAAUUUUAUCAAAUUAAAUGAUGACUCAAGGAUGAAAUUUUAAAAGACAAUCAAGGGCAAAAUGAUCAAUUGGAAGAGAGAGAAAUCUAGAAAGUAAUGAUGAUGUUGAUGAUAUUUUAUGAUUAUUUAAUUAGAUAUAUAUUAUUUUAAUGAGAUAUUUUAUUAUUUUAUUAUUAUUUUAUUAUUAAUUAUUUAGUAUAAAAGGAAGGAAAGAUGAUGAAUUUUCAUCCUCUUUCCAUGCAUGCAACCAAUGUUAGAAGAGAAGGAAAAGAAAGAAAUUUUCUUUUCUUUACAAUUUGGUCUUUCCACCAAAAAUUUACCAUUUUCACCUAGAAAUCAAAAGAAUUUCCAUAGCUACUAAGAGAGAAAAAUGUUAAGGGGACCAUGGGGAGUUAGAAUAUCAAGUUGGAUUCAAGAAAUAGAAGCUGGAGGAGAGAAAAAAUCAAGUUAAAGAUUGGUAUCAAUAGAACAAGGUAAGUACAUCAAGAUUUCAAUAUGUUUUUAAGCUUAUUAUUAUUGACAAAGCAUGGAAAUAAUGUUAUAGUAGAGUUUUCUUACAUAAGGUUCUAUGUUCUUGAUAUGUUAGUGAAGAGAAAAUAAGAGAAAGUGAUGAGAAAUAGUGUAGAAAAAAAAAAUAAGGGUGUUAUAAACAUGGUAAUUAAUAUCUUGCACUAAAACAGUUUUGGACAACAGCAAUAGUCUAACUUUAAAAAAUCAUCAAAAAUUGUAGAAAUCUAAUUAUAGGAUGAAUAAAAUAUGAAAUUAAAUCUUAUUAAGUCUAGUUUCUUAUAGAAGAAAUUAUGUAAGCAAUUAAAUUGUAAAUCAUGAGAUAUAAUAAAAUUUGUGAGACAAGGUUAGAAUGAUUUCGGGUUCCCCUAUUCUGAUUUGGAAAAUCAUAAAAAAAUAGAGAAAAAUAAUUAUGGGAUUAAAUUUAUAUUUUUAGAAUCCUGAAUGAGUCUAUUUUCAAGAGAAAUAAACAAGAACAUCAUUUGAAUUCUGUACGAGGAGAUAAUUAAUUUUUAGUGAAGAAGGGUCAGAACUGUCAGACAGCAGAACAGGGGUAACUUUAAAGAAUAAACUGUACUUAUUGGAUGAACCAAAAAUUCUGAAAAUUUUAUGGUAAGAAGAUAUAUGAAUCUAGUUUUAAGGAAAAUUAGUGGAUCUAAAUUUGGAGUUCUAUAGUUCCAGAUAUAAAUAAUUUAGUGACUAUGACACAAAUGGAUAGCUUGAAUAUUCAUAAAAGUAAAUAAUAAAAAUUAUAGAUAAUGUUACUUACAAGUGUCAUAUAUACAUUAAGGAUGUGGAAUGGAGAGGAGGAGGAGGAAAAAAUAUGUAUGAAUAUUCAUCUAGCAUGGCUAAUUUGCAUGUUUUAGGCUCAGGGACUAAAUUGAAUAAAAGUAAAACUUUAUGGGCAAUUUUAUAAAAAUUUCAGAAAUGAACAAAUUGAAAGAAAUGAAUUAUUUUAUUAUUUAAAUUACAAAAUUUAAUGAAAUUAUUAAUUUAGUUCAAGAUCGGGGGAAAACAUGUUUUAGGGAUUAAAUUGAAAAGUGUUGAAAUUAUGGAAAAAUUUUGAUAUUUUAUAGAAUUCAUGGACUGUUCUCGAUAUGUAUGAUAAUAAUAGCUGUAAAUAAGGAUUAAAUUGCAAGAAUUUUAUUUUCCUGGCCCUAAGGAUGAAAUCGUCAUUAAUUAAAAGUUGAGCGGCAAAAUGGUAAUUUUUCCUAGAUCAUUAAUUAAAUGCAUUAGAAAAUGAAAUGAAUGAAAAUUAUGUUCAAAUUUAUUUAUAAAGAUCCAGACGACUCAAAUACGAGACUUGAUCGUGGAAAAAAAAAGAUAUCGGAUUAAUGAAAUUAUAAACACAAACAAUCAAUGAAGUAAGUUUGUGUAACUUGAAUUGUAUUUUUAAAUACUUGAAAUAUGUGGUUAUGUGAUGAAAAUAUGAUUUGAAUUUUCAAUUCAUGAUAAUUGAUGAAAUAUUGAUAAUACUCGAUAUAAAUUGAAAAUAAAUCUCGGUUGAAUGGAAUGGAAUUCAUGAUUAUACUUGUGAAUUGUAUUUUUGUCAUGCAUAUGAAAUUGAUAUGGAUAUAUUUGAUAAUGCCCGAUAAAAUGAUAAAUCCCGUUGAACAAAGGAAAAUCGACGGAUGUAAGUUUCCUGAAUUGGUUGUAGUUCUGCAUAUGUUGCAGACACACCAUAGCUCGAAAGAGUGUCCCGAUAUUAGUCCUUUCGAGCUUCCCGUUAUAUGGUUCUUGCUAGCUUCCCAUUAUAACUCUUCGGAGCGUCCCGAUAGGUUGUGAUCUGCAUGUGUUGUGGACACACCGUAGCUCUUAAGAGCGUCCCGAUAUAUGGCUCUUCGUGAGCUUCCCGAUAGGCUCUUUGUGAGCUUUCCGAUAGUGCUCGCUUGAACUUCCUGAUAUAUGGCUAUCCGGAGCUUCCCGAUAGGCUCUUCGUGAGCUUCCCGAUAUGGUUCUUUGUGAACUACCUAAUUUUGGCUCUAUUGAGCUUCCCAUUAUAGCCCAAAUUAGCUUCCCGAUAUUGCUCUUUAUGAGCUUCCCAUUAAAUAGCUCGAGACGGUAAAAAAGAUCUAGCCCGGACGGGUGAUCCUAUCCUGAUAUAGCCCUCCCGAAGAAUAUGUGUAAAAUGGAUUUAGCCCGGACGGGUAAUUCGAAUUAGGGUCUAAAUUUAGCCUGGACUGGUAAUUCAGAUCCAAGCUCAUUAGAGUAAUUGUCAUUGCAGGGAAUUUAGCAUGGACUAGUAAUCCCGACAAUACUCUAUGAGUUUAUAUUACAAGAGAUUUAGCCUGGACUGGUAAUCCUGCUGUAAGGAUGAGGUUUGUUGGAGUGUGCUUUCUGGAAAAAGGGUAUACCCAUAUGUGUACGAAUUGACAGACCCGGAAUUGUACACAAAAGUGUACUAUUGAAUAUCCAUCGAAAUUCCAAGGAAUUCAAUGGGAUAAAUAUGAGAAAUGGAAGAAUAUGAAAAUUAUGAAAUUAAUGAGCUCAUUAAUCAUUUAUCUUUGUAUUGAAUUUAUGUAAUGAUUUGUACAUGUUAUAUGGACACAUGGUGUGGAAAGUAUAUGAUACAUGAAAUAUUAAUAAAAUGAAAUGAAUGAUAUAUGUUAUUAAAGAAACGGUAAGAGAAUGAUAUGUAUCUUGACAUGUACAUAUGUGAUUAUCUUUUAUAUGUUAAUAUAAGGAAAAUAUGUAAGUUAAGACGAGUAUUAAAUUCAAAUAUGACAUGUUGAGAAAAUAAGAAUUUAUAUGAAAUAUGUGUAAGUACACUAACAAGUGUUGUUGUUGAUGCUUAGGCAAGUGCCAAGCUAUUGAUUGAAUGAUAAUAUAGUUAUUGAUGCAUUGAAUCGGUAAGUAUUUAAGUGAAAUUUUUUAAGUGAUCUGCAAAUGGUAAUAAUGCUCUGAAACUCUGUUCCGGCGGCAAAUACGAAUUAGGGGUGUUACAAUUUUUAUCUUAUCUAAUCAAAUAGAUUAUUCUUACAUGAUUUUUGAGAGAUUGAAAUCUCUCUUGAAUCAUCUCUGUCUCUAUGUAUAUAUAUCCGUCAUAUAAAAACUCUCUGUUAAGUUCUAAAUAAUUUAAUUAAAAUGAUGAUGUGACUUUUUUAAUUAGUAUGUAAUAUAUUUAGUUCUAAACACUUAUAUUCUAUCAAUUUGUUCCUAAUUUUAAAUAAUUUAAUAAAUUUAACCCUCCAUAUAUAAAAACUCUAUUAGUUUGAUCCUUAAACACAACUUUAUCGCACUAGAAUUAUAAUUUAAAUUCAACUCAUACCAAUAGAUUUCAACGUAUAAUGUUAAAUUAAAUUGUAUAAAAGAAUUUGUUUUUUAUUUCCAAAAAAAAAAGUCUUGUAAUUAAAUAAUUGGGCAUGGUGCAGCUGCAAGCUAUGCAGACUGGCUUGAUUUUCCAUGUAUUAUAUAUUGUUGUUUGCUAUUAAGUGGUGACUGCACCACAAGUCUAAGCUAUACAUCGUAUCUAUGUUUGUAUUCAUUUCAUCUUCAACAUCAUCGUCCAAGAGUAAAAGUGAGCAGUGCAAGCUAUGGAAGUCGACACAACACAGUUGUUAUUACAUUUUAAUUAACUUUUGCAACUAAAGGAUGUUAGCUUAUUAUUGGGCUUCUAUUAAUAAUUGAGGUUUAGUCCAAACCAUAGGGCUAUAAUUUCUCACUAAUCAGUUACUGUUUGCCGUCCUUGAUUAUGUUUAAUUGUUUGAAGUAAUGGAUGGUAUGUAAUUCGGCUGCUAGUUUUAAAUUUCUAAAGUUCAUUGAAAAUUUGUUGUUUCAAUUUGUAGUUGGCGCAGACAUCAUUGAAAAUCUUAUAAGCAUAUUGUUAAAAUGAUAGCUUUAAUUUUCAAGCUAAUUAAACGCAAAGUUUACAUAUGCAUGCACCAAACUAGAGCAGCGAAAUGUGUCAAAACUUUGGCUUGAGUUCACAAGCCAUGAAAGCCAAGUUUCAAUAGAUGUAGAAGGCUUGGAUUUAAAAGCCAAUUGAAGCAUAAUGUCAAUUUUUGCUGGCAAAAGUGGGCGCCGAAAGCUACACGGAAGAUUUGCUCUUUCAAUUGUCAAGCCUUAUUAAAUGUGGCUAUUGACUUGAAGGUGAUGUAAACUAGUAUAAUUAGGACUUGGUUUUUAGCCAUGAGACACAUCAACUUUGAGAUUGAAUUAGCUAGUGAGUGGCUAAUUGAGAGCAAUUGUAUAAUAGCUCUUAGGUAUUUUUCGGGGGUGAGUUGUAAGCUUUUCAGAUUGUGUUUUGAGUGUCAAAACAUUUGUAAUCUUCACCUUUUUGUUAUAGUGAAAUUUUUUGUUGUCUCUACUCAUGGAGGUAGGCUUUAAAGUCGAAUCACGUAAAUAGUUAUGUCUCUUUAUUUAUUCUAUUUCGCACAUUAUUUAUUGUGGUGCUAUUUAUUCCUGAUGAAAUUAUUUGUGGUCAUAUUGACGUAGUUAAUCCGAUCCAUCCUCAACAAACUAGUAUCAAAACUUUGUUUUGACUAUUUUUGUGGUAAUUGCAAAGUGGUUGUCCUCGUGAUUUAUUUUUGUUGCUUCCGUUGUCACUUUAAAUAUUGAUAUGGAUGCAAGUGUAUCAUCGACUAAAUAUGAAGUCGAGGAAUUCACCAGGAAAAAUAGUUUCCACCUAUGGCGCAUCAAGAUGCGGGUGAUGUUGAUUCAACAAGUAUUGCUUAAAGCGUUGUCUGGUAGAGGCAAAGUAACAAACACGCUUUCGGAAGAGCAAAAGGAUGAGAUACUAGAGAAAGAACAUAGUGUUAUUCUACUAUGUUUAGGCAAUGAAAUAUUACUAGAGGUAGCUGAAGAGAAUAUGACGUUAGGUUUGUGGCUCCGAUUAGAGAGUAAGUAUAUGAUGAAGCCAUUGAUGAAUAGACUCUACCUCAAGCAAUGACUAUACACCCUGAAGAUGGAGGAAGGUUCACCUAUUUUACAACAUCUUAACACUUUCAACUCUAUUAUUAUGCAUCUCAAUAAUAUUGGUAUUAAAAUCAUGGACAAGGAUCAAGCAUUGAUUGUUCUAUGUUCUUUACCUUGCUCAUAUGAGAAUUUUGUUGACACAAUGUAAUGCAGUUGUCGUAACCAUUUUUUUUGAAAACGGGAAUCGACUUGGAUUUUGAAAAUGGAAACGAAGAACUGGAGUCGCCACCAAUCCUUUUUGAUGAGGUGUGAUCGGGUCACCUUAAAUUAAUCAUUUUAAUAAAAGUUAAGAUUUACUAAAACGAUAAUUUUUGGUCUAAGAAAAUCAGAAAAUGAGUUCGGGAGUCAGUUACUCACGAGGAAGGAUUAGCACCCUCGUAACGCCCAAAAUUGGUACCUAGUUGAUUAAUUAGUGUCCUUGUUGUCGAAAAUUUGAAAACUUGAAAGACUUAGAAAUGUGAUUCCUUUUUUGCAAAAAAAAAAUGCUCAAAUGUUAAAGACCUUCUUGUCUCGAAGUAAUAAAACACCAUGUCCAGUAAGUUAGGACCCGGCAUCUCGAACUUUGAGAACAAGCUUGCCUUUUAUUUAAAAUUAACAUGUUUUAAAGGAUAUUCGGUUUGUUAGGGUGAACGAGGAAAAUCGAAACCCAGUGAGUUAGGGUACGUUUCCUCGAAUUUUCGAACACCAAAUAUCGCCUUUAUUUGAGAAAAAUCUUAUUUCGAAGUAACAAAAUGUCAUACCCGGUAAGUUAGGGCACCACACCUCGCAUCCCCGAAAAUAAGCAUUUUUAAAAUUCGUAUUGUGGUUUAAAAGAAUAUUCCAUGAUUUAUGUUAAAAGAGAAAUAUCGAAACCCAGUAAGUUAGGGCACGAUUGUCUCGAAUUACCAAAUACGGAGUAUUUACUUUUAUGAAAGAAUUAUUUUGGGUUAAGGCAUCGGGUGAAAAACAUAAUGUGAUUUAUAGUAAAACAUGAAAGCAAAUUAUGGUGCUAAUACGUAAUAAUAAGCACGAUAGUGUCUAACAUAAUAAUACGAGCAAUUAUGAAAGGUGAAAUAAUAGCAAGGUUAGUAAACAAACGCAUGAGGAAAAUGAGAUGAUCGAAUACAUAGGCCAAUAAAUAAACAAAAUAAAUAAAUAAAACAUGACAAAAUAAAAUGACAGUGAUAACGAAAACGAUAAUAAUAGGAAUAACAUAAGUAAUAAUAGUAAGAAUGUAAAUAUGAAACGGUAAGGAACAUACAUAUAUGUAAAAUGUAUAAUACAAGAUUAAAAAAUAUAUAUACGAUAUUUGUUGAAAACAGUAAUAAUAUAUAAAAAUGAUGACGAUAUAUAAAUGUAUACAUGUAUGUAUUAAAAUAUACGUAAUAAUAGAAAUAAAAAUAUAUAUGUAGUAUUAAAAAUAUAAAUACAUAAUAUAUAUAAAGAUAUAAUUUUAAAAUGUAUAUGCAUGAUAUAUAUGAAAAUAUAUACAUAAUAUAGUUAUUAUUAAAAAAUAUAUAUAUACAACAUGUAUGGUAGUAAAAAUAGUAUUAAAACAUAAUACAUACAUAUAAGAUCGCCUAAAAAAAUGCUAAUGCUAAUAAUAGUAAAAAUAAAAUGCUAAUAAAUAAUAGAGAUAGUAUAAUAAUGGAAAUAUAAAUAGAUAAGAAACAUAAUAGAUGAAUAAUAAGGAAAUGAAAACAAUAAUAAUCAAAAUACAAUGGUAAUAGUAAUUACAAAGAUGAUGAUGAUAAUAAUAACAUUAAAGUAAAGUAAACAAUAAUACUAUAUAUAAAUAUAUAUGUAUAUACGUAUAUAGUAAAAAUACACACUACUAUAUAAUAAUAAUAAUAAUAAUAAUAAUAAUAAUAUAGAAAUGCAAAAAGCAAAUAUAAUAAAAAUAUUAAAUUAAAGUAAUAAAAAAACAAUACCAUGUGUAGGUAUAUAUAUAUAUAUGAAGAUAUACACUAAUAUAUAAUAAUAGUAAUAAUAAUAAAGUAGUAAAAAAUAUAAUUAUAAUAGUAAAAUAUAACAAAUAGUAGUAAAAGAAAAUAAUAAAAUUAUCUAACUCAAUAAUAGAGGAGCUAAAUAACUAAACUAGGGACUAAAUUGAGUGUAGAACGAAAGUUCAAGGCCAAUUUAAAAUAAAAAUAAAAAGAGAAGGCUGAAUAAAACACGCGAGAUAAAUGGAGGGACCAAUUCCGCUAUUAUACCCUAUCCCUAAAACGAUAUCGUUCCAUCAACUAUCCCUCAAAUGGUUAGAGGAUCAAAUUAAGAAAGAUUAAAAUUACAAGGCAUAAUUAAGGAAUAAAAAAAAUUGGAUUAAAACAUGACAGAAAUGCGGAAGGACCGCGCAAGUAAUUAUCCCAGUAGCAGCAAAACACGCGGAUCCUCAGGCAUCGGGUUGGGUCGCGCACAGUUCACAUGAAACGGCAUCGUUUUGGCGCUGUGAGUUAAGGCCCAAAACGGCGCCGUAUUAUGCCAUUAUAUAAACCCAAAUUUUUUUAAAAAACAUGCAUUCUUUUGCUGUUUCAGAAAAAAAAUGGGAAGAGUUCUUCCCUUCUUCUGGGAAAGCCCCAGAUUCCGGCCAGGAGGGCCACCACGCACUCCCGCCGUCACCGAUCCGCCACCAUCACCGGCCACCGCGUGAGGUAUAUUUUUUCUUCUUUUUUAUUUAUUUUCUAUUAUUAUUUUUUGUUUACAAUAUAUGUAUAUAUAUGCGAAUAAAAGGGUGUGAAAAUAGAAAAGAAAGAAAAAAGAAAUAAAUCGAAAGAAAAUGAAAUCACCUUUGUUUUUCUGAUUUUUGAUUCUAUGUUUUCGUUUCUUCUUUUAAUGUUUUUCUCUUGAUUGGAUAUUUUGUGCCUUUGACUCACUGAUUUUGUGUUUUAAAAUCAAAUGCUUCUUUUUAUUUCUCACAAAAAAACUGAAUCCUUUUUACAAUUUCGUUUUGGUUUAUAUAUUUGUGCACACUGCUCCUUUUUGCUUUCUUUUUUCUCUCGUUUAAUGCUUGCAGGUGAAUGACGGUGGACUUGACCUGUCGGUGGGAGCAGAGGCGGUGGUGGAUGGGACAUGGAGCAAGUGGCUGAAGCAGCUUAGGGUUUUCUUAGCUUUUUUCUUUUGUUUUGUGUUUAGGUUGGGCUAGGGUUUUGAUUUGUCUGGGCUAAGAAUUUUGGUUUAAGUUGGGUAUUGGGUUUGGGUAGGUGUAAUUGGGUAGGGCAAAUUGGGCUUGUGAGGUUAUAUUGGGCCCGGGCAAGGAUUGGGUUGUACAGCUGCCCCUCUUUGCUCGUUGUCAUGUAAUGAGAAUAGAGCAAAGACUUUCGAAAGACCAAUCUUGUCUAGUCUCGAGUCUCCACUUUUUUGGUGCUCUUAUUCUUCAGGUAGCUUUAUUCCCAUCUAGUGCGACUCGUCGCUUUACUUCGCUCCAUUGCAACUUCAGAGAAAUAAUAUUUGCUAUCUUUAGUCUGUUCCACUGCAACUUCAGAGAGAUAGGAUCUGUAAUUUAGCUUCAAUCUGUUCCAUUGCAACAUCAGGGAAAUAAGAUUCGCUAUUUUCAGCCUACUCCACUGCAAUCUUCAGGGAGAUAAGACUUGUGACUUCAAUCUUCUCCGCUAAAACUUCAAGGAGAUCUGCUGUGGCUUCGAGCCGCUCCAACGCCAUUUCAGGGAGAAAAGAUUUGUAAUUUUCAGCCUGUUACCCUACUGCAUAGGGGUUUAAGGCCCAUCAAUUCUGCUAUGUUUCCCUACUACUUAGGGGGUUAAGAUUCGUCAAUGUUCAGCCUGUUACCCUACUGUUUAGGGGUUUAGGGCUUGUCACCUUUGAUCUGUUUCCCUACUGCUUAGGGGGUUAAGAUCUAUGAAUUCAACCUGUUACCCUACUGUUUAGGGGGGUAAGGUUUGUCAAUCUUCGACCUGCUCCACUACUGCUUAGGGAGAUAAGAUCUCUAAUUUGGUCUGUUACCCUACUGCUUAGGGGUUUAAGACCCUUUGUCUUCGAUCUACUCCACUACUGCUUAGGGAGAUCAGAUCUGCAAUUUGGUCUGUUACCCUACUGCUUAGGGGUUUAAGACCCUUCGUCUUCGAUCUGUUUCCCUACUGCCUAGGGGGUUAAGAUCUGUAAUUUGGUCUGUUACCCUACUGCUUAGGGAGAUAAGGCUCGUGGAUUCACCGAUUCCACUGCACCAUCCUCUUAGGAACAUGAUCUGUAAAAUCAGUUUCAUGCAUCUAUGUUUAUGCCAAAUAAUUAGGAAGCUAUGAUCAAACGCUCCUAACUAGAUGUGUUAUGAAAGUGUCGAAUAAAUGUAUGAGUGAGAAUGGAUCCCUUUUUAAUGCUUGGGUUGUCAUUGCUCUUUGUUCAUCAAGGUUUUUUCACUGAAACGGUAUUUUGUCUUCUUGUUCAUCUUAGUUCUUUGAACAGAAAACCUGGAGAGGUAGUCCCGAUUUAAACUCUUUCUUCUCAAAUGCUCCCAAUCUUUAAGUUUGGUUAGUUCUAAAUAAUAGCUCUGUUUGAGGUUCCUAUACUAUUUAGAAACUUUCAGAGUAAUAUGCAGAACUCUUUUUGCAAAAAUGACUUUAGUCUAUUAAUCAUCAUUUCAAUGCAAAAUGCUUGAAAAAGAUCACAACAAUGACAGGAAUGAAAUUUGUCAGAAACAAAACUUGAGGGGAACAAAUAUUGCUGGAAUACAAAAUGGAUAGAAAGAAAAUAGGUGCCCCAAAUAUCGUAGCAUGAGCUUCUAUGUACGAACUUCUUGAGGAUUCCAUUUUUGCUCGAUGUGUUUUUAGGAGAUUUAGAGUAUCCUUGUAGAUGCCCCAAGAUGUAACGUCUCUCCUCCUUGUUAAUUUAGGUAUCGUAUGCCCUACAUUUGAUCAAUAUUUGAAUCGCCCUUUUACGGGUUUUCAAUUCAAAAUCCCUUUGGUCUCAAGGUACCCUUUGCGAGUUUUCACCUUGGCCUCUCCCUUUUUUUUUAGGCGAAGUAUUUCUUAACCGAAUCCGAAUUCAUGGGAUUGGGUAAAGUCUUGCCAUCCAUUUCAGCCAAUAUCAAUGCUCCUCCAGAAAAUGCCUUCUUUACCACAUAAGGUCUUUCCCAAUUAGGCAUUCAUUUUCUUCUGAUAUACUUUUGUAUGGGCAGGAUCUUUUUCAAUACUAGGUCUCAUUCAUGGAAUUCUCUGGGACGAACCUUUUUGUUGUAAGCUCGCAUCAUUCGCUUUUGGUACAUCUGACCAUGGCGAAUAACCCUUAGCCUCUUUUUUUCAAUCAAAUUCAACUAAUCGUAUCGGGACUGGAUCCAUUCUACUUCGUCCAACUUUACUUCUGACAAAAUUUUGAGGGAAGGAAUCUCGACCACGAUAGGUAAAAUGCUUCCAUUCCAUAGACCAAUGAGAAAGGCGUUGCCCCGGUAGAAGUCCUGAUAGACGUUCGAUAAGCAUAGAGGGCGAAUGGUAGCUUCUCAUGCCAAUCUUUAUAAGUUUCUGUCAUGUUUCCCACAAUAUUCUUGAUGUUCUUAUUGGCUGCUUUGACUGCACCGUUCAUCUUUGGGCGAUACGGUAACGAGUUGUGAUAUCUGAUCUUGAACUGACUGCAGACAUCUGCUAUCAUGCUGUUGUUCAAAUUCAAUGCAUUGUCAGAUAUGAUCCUUUCCGGUAUUCCAUAUUGACAGAUGAUUUCCUUUUUCAGGAACUUGCUAACUGCUGAUUUAUUGACAUUGGCGUAUGAAGCGGCCUCCACCCAUUUGGGGAAAUAAUCAAUGACCACAAAGAUGAAACGAUGCCCAUUUAAAGCUUUUGGCGAAAUUGGCCCAAUCACAUCUAUGCCCCACAUCGAGAAAGGCCAUGGCGAAGUCAUGACAUGCAGAGGUGAGGGAGGUACAUUAAUCUUGUCUCCAUAGAUUUGGCACUUAUGACAUCUUUUAGCGUAGUUAAUACAGUCUCCUUCCAUGUGGACCAAUAAUAACCGAACCUCAUAAUUUGCCUGGCCAUUGUAAAACUAUUAGCCUGUGUCCCACAGACGCCCUCAUGGACUUCUUCCAAGAUUUUCUUAGCCUCAAUAGCAUCUACACAUCUCAACAGUACCUGAUCCUUCCUUAUUUUGUAUAGGAUCUCCCGUCUAAGACAUAAUCACUAGCCAGUCUUCUCAACGUCCUUUUGUCAUUCUCAGUAGCUUGGUCGGGGUACUCACGAUUCUUCACAUAUCGCAGGAUAUCGUGGUACCAAGGGUGAUCAUCAUUUUCUUCUUCUUCUUCGAGGUUGUAGCAAUGAGCCAGAGCUUCAUAAAUGCUCAUUUGGAUUGGUUUCACAUUCUUUUGCUUAUUCACCUUGAUCAUAGAGGCUAAAGUUGCUAGGGCGUCAGCCAUCUGAUUUUCUUCUCGCGGGAGGUCGUAGAAGACAAUAUCAUCAAACUCUUUAAUUAACUCAAGGAUCAGCCUUCGGUAAUUGAUUAAUUUGGGUCUCUUGUCUACCAUUCACCUUUGAGUUGAUAAAUCACUAGGGCAGAAUCUCUGUAUACUUCUAACACCUUGAUUUUACGCCCUAUGACCGCGCGAAUUCCCAUGAUGCAUGCUUCGUACUCUGCCAUAUUGUUCGUGCAGUCAAAAUCCAAUUUACUAGUGAAUGGAUAAUGAUCUCCGUUUGGGGAUACCAGGACUGCCCCGAUUCCGUUACCCACAGCAUUUGAUGCUCCGUCAAAGUUUAGCUUCCAAGGAUGACCUUCUUGAGGGUCUUCUUCAGUGGUUGCUAUAUACAAUAGAUCUUCAUUUGGGAAGUUAAACUUCAGAGGCUCGUAGUCCUCCAGGGCUCUGCUGGCUAGGAAAUCUGCUAUCGCACUCCCUUUUACGGCCUUCUGGUUCACAUAGACUAUAUCAAAUUCAGAAAGUAGAAUUUGCCAUCGGGCCAUUCUCCCGUUCAAAGCAGUCGACUCCAUCAAGAACUUCAGAAGAUCCAUUUUAGAGAUCAGCCAAGUUGUGUGGUACAACAUGUAUUGUCUCAGUCUUCGGGUUGUCCAGAUUAAGGCACAACACAACUUUUCAAUGAACGAGUAUCUCGUCUCACACUCAGUAAACUUUUUAAUGAGGUAAUAUAUCGCUCUUUCUUUCCUUCCCGAUUCAUCGUGUUGGCCAAGCACGCAACCUCUAGAAUUUUCAAAUACCGUCAAAUACAGUAUCAGUGGCUUAUUUGGACUAGGUGGUGUCAACACUGGGGCAUUAGAUAAAUAUUGCUUAACUAUGUCGAAAGUCUUCUGGCAUCCCUCGUCCCAAACACUAGGGUUGUGUUUCUUAAGGAGACGGAAUAUGGGGUCAAAUUUCUCGGUUAGUUGUGAAAUAAACCGAGCGAUGUAAUUUAAUCUUCCUAGGAAUCCCCGAACUUCCUUCUGAGUACGUGGUGGAGGUAACUUUUGUAUGGCUUUGACUUUAUCUGGGUCAAUCUCAAUCCCUUUUUCACUGACCAUGAAUCCUAGCAGUUUUCCUGACCUGGCCCCGAAGGUACAUUUUGCUGGAUUGAGUUUCAAUUGGAAUUUUCUAAACCUCAAAAAUAAUUUCCUCAAGACUUGCACAUGCUCUUCUUCAGUUCGAGAUUUGGCGAUCAUUUCGUCGACGUAGACUUCAAUUUCUUUAUGCAUCAUAUCAUGGAAUAGGGUUACCAUGGCUCUCUGAUAUGUUGCUCCUGCAUUUUUCAAUCCGAACGGCAUCACCUUAUAGCAAAAGGUUCCCCACAUGGUCACAAAUGUGGUUUUAUUCAUGUAUUCAGGAUGCAUCUUGAUUUGAUUGUACCCUGAGAAACCAUCCAUGAAGGAGAAGAGUGAGUAACCUGCCGUGUUAUCCAUUAAGGUGUCAAUAUGAGGCAACGGCAAAUUAUUCUUCGGGCUGGCUUUGUUUAAGUCUCUGUAGAGGGGGUUAGGCUUGUGUGACCACUUCUCUCCAUCGCUGGGCAUACUGCCUAAAACUCUCAUUAUGCUUUUUCUCCAUAUUCUGUAAAGUGAUUCUAUCAGGGGCUGUGUCUGCCACAUGUCCGUACUGCUUCAUGAAAGCUUGUGUUGGAUCUUUCCAUGAACCAAUCUGGGCACGACUCAGUUGGUUGUACCAUCUAGAAGCGGCCCCAACCAGACUUUCUUGGAAGCAGUGAAUUAAUAAUUGGUCAUUAUUGACAUGGCCUGCCAUUCGUCUGCAGAGCAUAGUGAUGUGAGCUUCAGGACAUCUAGUCUUGUUGUAUUUCUCAAAUUUCAGAGUUUUGAACUUGGGAGGGAGUACCAGGUCCGGAACCAAACUUAAUUCCUUAGCGUCGAUUCCACCACGAUAGUCGGUGCUUUCCAUUUUUAAAAAUUUUUCUUUUAACCAUCUACACCUUUCUUCAAGCUCUCUCGGGAGUUCUACCCUUGUCAUUUCUGCUUCUGUUGCUUCAUCGAGAUUGAGGACCACAGGGUUAGUUGGGUUAUCCCCCGGAUUAGAGCCUGAGCCAGCCUGAUAAUUCAUCGGUGCCGAAACAUCGGCCUGAAAUGGUUGGGGUCUAAUUGUGAUCGAUGGCCUUUUUGGAUACAUAUCAGGUUGUGUCUGAACGUCUACUGGGGCAAAACCCGGAGGGUAGGUAGGAUCUUCAUUAUCAUCUUCCGCAUUGAUCAAUGGGCUUUUCCCUUUUUCUAAUCCGCUAGCCAAUAAACGUGUUAGUUGGUCCAUCAUGCUUUUCUGGGACUCCAGCAUCUGGUCCCUCAUAUCUUGCUGGAUUUUGGCAAGUUGUUCUUGCAUACGUGUUUGUAAUUGAUCCUGCAUCUCUUUUUGCAUUUGUUCCAAUCUCUCUAACCUUUGAUCCAUUGCUCUUGUUUUUCCUCUUGUACCGUAACGAUGUUCCAGGGUAACUGCCAUGAUUUUUAGGGUUUUUUGUGAGUUUUAGUGCGUAUGAUGCAAUGCUGAUGCAUGAAUGCAAUGAAUGCGAUGAAUGCAAAAAAGCGUUGAUUCCAAUUCGAUUUCAUUAGAAUAACUUUUCUAGAAAACAAGUUUCUUUACAUAAAAUAGAUUACAUAUAAGACUUGGCCCUGAUACUUAAGGCCUUAACCUGCCUAAGAAGCCAAGCUAGCUCUCGGCCUCGGUCCGAUUCCUCGACUCGUAUUUUAAACUUAGCAUAUCGGCUUGUACUGCUAAUGUUUGCAAGUGAUCAGCCACUUCUCGCACUUGAGUCAAAGCUUUGCCCAUGACGUAGUCCCUGCUCUUGACUUGGUCUUGAGAUUGAUGAAGUUCCUCAUUCCAUAUCUCGUUAUUUACCUCGAGGAGUUCUAUCUGAAGUUCACGAUUUUGCAGCGCUGUUUUGAGUUCUUCUAUAUUCUCUUUUAAUUCUUCGAUUUUAUUCUAACUAGCUUUCAACUCAACUACGGAGUUAUGCGAGCGACACUGAUACAAGGACCUCUCUAACUCUGAUACCCGAAUCUUUAACCCUUCAUUCUCAUUCUGGCUUUCUACCAAACUUCUUUUCAGAACACCUUCUCGAGCUUGAGCAUCCCGAAAUUUUUCUUCCCAUUGGUUGGCUUUGCUUUAUUCUUCUUUAACUUUCUGUCACCACUGUUCCAAUGUUUUUCCUAACCCAGCAGUUCUCAUUGAUCUACGCAGCUUCUUAUAGUCCGUUUUCAAACUGUCCAAGUCCUCUUUAGCCUUGUUUUUCCCUUUUCUGAGUCUUUCAGCUUCUAGUUUCUGGACAUCGACAUCUAACCCUAACUGCAUCUUUUCUUCUUCCAAUUGCUCGAUCCUUUUUUUUAGCUCCAGACUCUUUCUCUCGAAAUCUUGCCUGAUGAUUUCUAGCUCAGAUGGGAUUACUUUCAAGUGUUCUUCUAUCGACUGAGGAUUCUCUUGAUCUAAUGUAGGGAUAUUGUCGUUAAUCCUCUGAUUCCACCAUCGGUCAUACUUAGGAGUAGUCAUGGGAUUGGUAGUAAACUUUUUCAUUCUACGAGUCUGGUUUCAGGCAUUUGAUAUCUCGCGAACUUUCUUUUUGUAAUUAUUCCCUGUGAACACGAACUCGCACUAGGCUAACCCGUAUGUUGGUGGUGUAAACUGUCUGGAUCUGUACUGUCUUAAUGCAAGCAGAGGAGCAUAUCCGAUGGCUCCCAUACUCCUAACAAGGGAACCUAAUUGAAAUCUCCGCAUCGGUAUAAUAUUUCAUCAGGAACCAUCCACGGGGCUCUCCAUUCAACGUCUUCUUCUUACAAAUUUUGGAAAACCGUCAUCCAAUUUUCUUUUGUAACAUCAUCUCACCUCGGUGUAGCCACUAAUUCUUUCAGUGGAGAGUAAUUUUCGGAGAAGAUACGAUACGAGACCUUUUCCACUUUCCAAAAAUGGUUGUGGAACCAAGAUAGCAAGAGCUGUGCACAUCCAAUAAAUCUCCCUUCACCCGCUCUUCUACAAGCAUUCAAUAAUCUGAAAGUUUCAGCCAAGAUUGCGGGUACAGGUGUGGUUCCUUUACCAAGCCUAUCAAAAAGGUCGGAAACAGCCUCGUGUACAUGCCCCAAAGCUUUGAGGAAGAUGACCAGUCCAUAAAUGCUCAGGGCAAAUACAUCUACCCUUUUCUUCACGUCGGAGUGCACUAAGAUUAGAUCCCUCAGGUUCCUCCAAGGAAUGCAUUUACAAUCUCCUUUUUGUUUGAUCCGGGUUGUCGCCCACUGUUCGCUCAUCCCUGUGAUGUUCAUCAGCUUUUUUGAAAAUGCUGGGACGUUAGCAGGUUUGGAAUAAAUUCUGUCAACCUGAAUCUUUGGGCAAUGGAGCAAGGUCGUGUAUUCUUCUAUAGUAGGUACCAAAUCUACUUUCCCGAAAGUGAAGCAACUGUAAGCAGAAUUCUAAUCUUGGGCAAGGGCUCGAAACAGGUGUUCAUCUACCUUGACAUCGAGCAGAUAAGGUAAAUCACCGUAAUGACAAUAGAAUAGCUGUUUGACCUCGUCAUCCCACUGACCCCAAAUUUCUUUCAUCUCUUGGAGAUUAUUCUGAGUUACGCUGAUCCGAGUAAGUUCCAUAACUCUAAAACGUACCCCUUGGUAAGACUGUCACCUUUCUCUUGUUAUGUUGUCUCAGCCCUUAUCCGGACAGCCGCGUUGUCUUCUACUUUAUCAAAAAACCUCUUUUCCAUGAUAAGCUAUCUAUUUAGGAACCGAAUGCGAAUCAACACCUUUUGUGAUGAAAAUGCCAUGCAAAUACAAUCAAAGUAAAACAAAGCAAGUCAAUAUUUCAUACGCAGUUUAAAGCAAACAAAGAAUAAUAAAUAUAACACUUGCUUAGGUAACCACUAGGGUUUCAGAGUGGCUCUACCUAGGGUGGGUUCUUAAGGCUCGCUACAUGGGGUUUGGUUUUAGAGUAAAGGUACCUGAACCAGCAGAUUCCUCGAUCUUCACCCAUUUUAGGCUCAUACAGACCGAGUUCAGUUCAGGGGAGUACAUUUCCCUAUGGCUACACGGAGAUGAAAUCUCACGAAGACAUAGGUACGGAUGUAUCCCGAAAGCAAUCCACUAUCCUGCACGGAGGUGAAAACCUCACGAAGGAGUAGUUUCUCACUCUCACUUAAAGGGGUGUGACCACAGCGGUCAUGCAAUGCAAUAUGAAAAACUAUUUUAAAGACUCGAACCAACGCAGCAGGUAUUAUAUCAUAUACCACAAAAAUAGCUGAUGAAAUGCAAUGAAAGGAUCGUAUUUCAAAACCAAAUUUUCAAUUUUCGAUAAAAAGACAAGAGUUAAUCAACUUGUGGCUUGACUCUCUUAUUUGGUUCCCUAAUGGAGUCACCAAGCUGUCGUAACCAUUUUUUUGGAAAACGGGAAUCGACUUGGAUUUUGAAAAUGGAAACAAAGAACUGGAGUCGCCAUCAAUAUUUUUUGAUGAGGUGUGAUCGGGUCACCUUAAAUUAAUCAUUUUAAUAAAAGUUAAGAUUUACUAAAACGAUAAUUUUUGGUCUACAAAAAUCAGAAAAUGAGUUCAGGAGUCGGUUACGCACGAGGAAGGAUUAGCACCCUCGUAACGCCCAAAAUUGGUACCUAGUUGAUUAAUUAGUGUCUUUGUUGUCAAAAAUUUGAAAACUUGAAAGACUUUGAAAUGCGAUCCCUUUUUUGCCAAAAAAAAGCCCAAAUGUUAAAGACCUUCUUGUCUCGAAGUAAUAAAACACCAUGUCCAAUAAGUUAGGACACGGCAUCUCGAACUUUGAGAACAAGCUUGCCUUUUAGUUAAAAUUAAUGUGUUUUAAAGGAUAUUUGGUUAGUUAGGGUGAACGAGGAAAAUCGAAACCCAGUGAGUUAGGGUACGUUUCCUCGAAUUUUCGAACACCAAAUAUUGCCUUUACUUGCGAAAAAUCUUAUUUCGAAGUAACAAAAUGUCAUACCCGAUAAGUUAGGGCACCACACCUCACAUCCCCGAAAAUAAGCAUUUUUAAAAUUCGUAUUGUGGUUUAAAAUAAUAUUCCGUGAUUUAGGUUAAAAGAGAAAUAUCGAAACCCAGUAAGUUAGGGCACGAUUGUCUCGAAUUACCAAAUACGGAGUAUUUACUUUUAUGAUAGAAUUAUUUUGGGUUAAGGCAUCGAGUGAAAAACAUAAUGUGAUUUAUAGUAAAACAUGAAAGCAAAUUAUGGUGCUAAUACAUAAUAAUAAGCACGUUAGUGUCUAACACAAUAAUACGAGCAAUUAUGAAAGGUGAAAUAAUAGCAAGGUUAGUAAACAAACGCAUGAGGAAAAUGAGAUGAUCGAAUACAUAGGCCAAUAAAUAAACAAAAUAAAUAAAUAAAACAUGGCAAAAUAAAAUGACAGUGAUAACGAAAACGAUAAUCAUAGGAAUAACAUAAGUAAUAAUAGUAAGAAUGUAAAUAUGAAACGGUAAGGAACAUACAUAUAUGUAAAAUGUAUAAUACAAGAUUAAAAAAUAUAUAUACGAUAUUUGUUGAAAACAGUAAUAAUAUAUAAAAAUGAUACGAUAUAUAAAUGUAUACAUGUAUGUAUUAAAAUAUACGUAAUAAUAGAAAUAAAAAUAUAUAUGUAGUAUUAAAAAUAUAUAUACAUAAUAUAUAUAUAAAGAUAUAAUUUUAAAAUGUAUAUACAUGAUAUAUAUGAAAAUAUAUACAUAAUAUAGUUAUUAUUAAAAAAUAUAUAUAUACAACAUGUUUGGUAUUAAAAAUAGUAUUAAAACAUAAUACAUACAUAUAAGAUCGCCUAAAAAAAUGCUAAUGCUAAUAAUAAAAAAAAUAAAAUGCUAAUAAAUAAUAGAGAUAGUAUAAUAAUGGAAAUAUAAAUAGAUAAGAAACAUAAUAGAUGAAUAAUAAGGAAAUGAAAACAAUAAUAAUCAAAAUACAAUGGUAAUAGUAAUUACAAAGAUGAUGAUGAUAAUAAUAACAUUAAAGUAAAGUAAACAAUAAUACUAUAUAUAAAUAUAUAUGUAUAUACGUAUAUAGUAAAAAUACACAUAAUAAUAAUAAUAAUAAUAAUAUAGAAAUGCAAAAAGCAAAUAUAAUAAAAAUAUUAAAUUAAAGUAAUAAAAAAAUAAUACCAUGUGUAGGUGUAUAUAUAUAUGAAUAUAUACACUAAUAUAUAAUAAUAGUAAUAAUAAUAAAGUAAUAAAAAUAUAAUUAUAAUAGUAAAAUAUAACAAAUAGUAGUAAAAGAAAAUAAUAAAAUUAUCUAACUCAAUAAUAGAGGAGCUAAAUAACUAAAGUAGGGACUAAAUUGAGUGUAGAACGAAAGUUCAAGGCCAAUUUAAAAUAAAAAUAAAAAGAGAAGGCUAAAUAAAACACGCGAGAUAAAUGGAGGGACCAAUUCCGCUAUUAUACCCUAUCCCUAAAAUGAUGUCGUUCCAUCAACUAUCCCUCAAAUGGUUAGAGGAUCAAAUUAAGAAAGAUUAAAAUUACAAGGCAGAAUUAAGGAAUAAAAAAAACUAGAUUAAAACAUGAUAGAAAUGCGGAAGGACCGCGCAAGUAAUUAUCCUAGUAGCAGCAAAACACGCUGAUCCUCAGGCAUCGGGUCCGGUUGCGCACGGGUCACGUGAAACGGCUUUGUUUUGGCUCUGUGAGUUAAGGCCCAAAACGGCACCGUAUUAUGCCAUUAUAUAAACCCUAAAAUUUUUAAAAAACAUGCAUUCUUUUGCUGUUUCAGAAAAAAAAAUGGGAAGAGUUCUUCCCUUCUUCUGGGAAAGCCCCAGAUUCCGGCCAAGAGGGCCACCAUGCACUCCCGCAGUCGCCGAUCCGCCACCAUCGCCGGCCACCGCGUGCGGUAUAUUUUUUCUUCUUUUUUUUUAUUUUCUAUUAUUAUUUUUUUGUUUACAAUAUAUGUAUAUAUAUGCGAAUAAAAGGGCGUGAAAAUAGAAAAGAAAGAAAAAUGAAAUAAAUCGAAAGAAAAUGAAAUCACCUUUGUUUUUCUGAUUUUUGAUUCUAUGUUUUCGUUUCUUCUUUUAAUGUUUUUCUCUUGAUUUGAUAUUUUGUGCCUUUGACUCACUGAUUUUGUGUUUUAAAAUCAAAUGCUUCUUUUUAUUUCUCACCAAAAAACCGAAUCCUUUUUACAAUUUCGUUUUGGUUUAUAUAUUUGUGCACACUGCUCCUUUUUGCUUUCUUUCUUCUCUCGUUUAAUGCUUGCAGGUGAAUGACGGUGGACUUGACCUGUCGGUGGGAGCAGAGGCGGUGGUGGAUGGGACAGGGAGCAAGUGGCUGAAGCAGCUUAGGGUUUUCUUAGCUUUUUUCUUUUGUUUUGUGUUUGGGUUGGGCUAGGGUUUUGAUUUGUUUGGGCUAAGAAUUUUGGUUUAAGUUGGGUAUUGGGUUUGGGUAGGUGUAAUUGGGUAGGGCAAAUUGGGCUUGUGAGGUUAUAUUGGGCCCGGGCAAGGAUUGGGUUGUACAGCUGCCCCUUUUUGCUCGUUGUCGUGUAACGAGAACAGAUCAAAGACUUUCGAAAGACCAAUCUUGUUCGAUCUCGAGUCUCCACUUCUUUGGUGCUCUUAUUCUUCAGGUAGCUUCAUUCCCAUCUAGUGCGGCUCGUCGCUUUACUCCACUCAAUUGCAACUUCAGAGAAAUAAUAUUUGCUAUCUUCAGUCUGUUCCACUGCAACUUCAGAGAGAUAGGAUCUAUAAUUUAGCUUCAAUCUGUUCCACUGCAACUUCAGGGAAAUAAGAUUUGCUAUUUUCAGCCUACUCCACUACAAUCUUCAGGGAGAUAAGACUUGUGACUUCAAUCUUCUCCGCUAAAACUUCAAGGAGAUCUAUUGUGGCUUUGAGCCGCUCCAACGCAAUUUCAGGGAUAAAAGAUUUGUAAUUUUCAGCUUGUUACCCUACUGCAUAGGGGUUUAAGGCCCAUCACUUCUGCUAUGUUUCCCUACUGCUUAGGGGGUUAAGAUUCGUCAAUCUUCAGCCAGUUACCCUACUUUUUAGGGGUUUAAGGCUUGUCACCUUUGAUCUAUUUCCCUACUGCUUAGGGGGUUAAGAUCUGUGAAUUCAACCUGUUACCCUACUGUUUAGGGGGGUAAGGUUUGUCAAUCUUCGAUCUGCUCCACUACUGCUUAGGGUGAUAAGAUCUGUAAUUUGGUCUGUUACCCUACUGCUUAGGGGUUUAAGACCCUUCGUCUUCGAUCUGCUCCACUACUGCUUAGGGAGAUAAGAUCUGCAAUUUAGCUUGUUACCUUACUGCUUAGGGGUUUAAGACCCUUCGUCUUUGAUCUGUUUCUCUACUGCAUAGGGGGUUAAGAUCUGUAAUUUGGCUGUUACCCUACUGCUUAGGGAGAUAAGGCUCGUGGAUUCACCUAUUCCACUGCACCGUCCUCUUAGGAACAUGAUCUGUAAAAUCAGUUUCAUGCAUCUAUGUUUAUGCCAAAUAAUUAGGAAGCUAUGAUCAAACGCUCCUAACUAGAUGUGUUAUGAAUAUGUCGAAUAAAUGCAUGAGUGAGAAUGGAUCCCUUUUUAAUGCUUAGGUUGUCAUGGCUCUUUGUUCAUCAAGGUUUUUUCACUGAAACGGUACUUUGUCUUCUUGUUCAGCUUAGUUUUUUGAACUGAAAACCCGGAGAGGUAGUCCCGAUUUAAACUCUUUCUUCUCAAAUGCUCCCAAUCUUUAAGUUUGGUUAGUUCUAAAUAAUAGCCCUGUUUUAGGUUCCUGUACUAUUUAGAGACUUUCAGUGUAAUAUGCAGAACUCAUUUUGCAAAAAUGACUUUAGUCCAUUAAUCAUCAUUUCAAUGCAAAAUGCUUGAAAAAGAUCACAACAAUAACAGGAAUGAAAUUUGUCAGAAACAAAACUUGAGGGGAACAAAUAUUGCUGGAAUACAAAAUGGAUGGAAAGAAAAUAGGUGCCCCAGAUAUCGCAGCAUGAGCUUCUAUGUACGAACUUCUUGAGGAUUCCCUUUUUGCUUGAUGUGUAUUUAGGAGAUUUAGAGUAUCCUUGUAGAUGCCCCAAGAUGUAACGUCUCUCCUCCUUGUUAAUUUAGGUAUCGUAUGCCCCACCUUUGAUCAAUAUUUGAAUCGCCCUUUUAUGGGUUUUCAAUUCAAAAUCCCUUUGGUCUCAAGGUGCCCUUUGCGAGUUUUCACCUUGGCCUCUCCCUUUUUUUUUAGGUGAAGUAUUUCUUAACCGAAUCCGAAUUCACGGGAUUGGGUAAAGUCUUACCAUCCAUUUCAGCCAAUAUCAAUACUCCUCCAGAAAAUGCCUUCUUUACCACUUAAGGUCCUUCCCAAUUAGGCAUCCAUUUUCUUUUGAAAUCCUUUUGUAUGUGUAGGAUCUUUUUCAAUACUAGGUCUCCUUCAUGGAAUUCUCUAGGACGAACCUUUUUAUUGUAAGCUCGCAUCAUUCGCUUUUGGUACAGCUGACCAUGGUGAAUAGCCCUUAGCCUCUUUUCUUCAAUCAAAUUCAAUUAAUCGUAUCGGGACUGGAUCCAUUUUGCUUCGUCCAACUUUACUUCUGACAAAACUAUGAGGGAAGGAAUCUCGACCUCGAUAGGUAAAACCGCCUCCAUUCCAUAGACCAAUGAGAAAGGCGUUGCCCCGGUAGAAGUCCUGAUAGACAUUCGAUAAGCAUAGAGGGCGAAUGGUAGCUUCUCAUGCCAAUCUUUAUAAGUUUCUGUCAUGUUUCCCACAAUCUUCUUGAUGUUCUUAUUGGCUGCUUCGACUGCACCGUUCAUCUUUGGGCGAUACGGUGACGAGUUGUGAUAUCUGAUCUUGAACUGACUGCAGACAUCUGCUAUUGUGCUGUUGCUCAAAUUCAAUGUAUUGUUAGAUAUGAUCCUUUCCGGCAUUCCAUAUCGACAGAUGAUUUCAUUUUUCAGGAACUUGCUAACUGCUGAUUUAGUUACAUUGGCAUAUGAAGCGGCCUCCACCCAUUUGGUGAAAUAAUCGAUGACCACAAAGAUGAAACGAUGCCCAUUUAAAGCUUUUGGCGAAAUUGGCCCAAUCACAUCCAUGCCCCACAUCGAGAAAGGCCAUGGCGAAGUCAUGACAUGCAGAGGUGAGAGAGGUACAUUAAUCUUGUCUCCAUAGAUUUGGCACUUAUGACAUCUUUUAGCGUAGUUAAUACAGUCUCCUUCCAUGGUGGACCAAUAAUAACCGAACCUCAUAAUUUGCCUCACCGUUGUAAAACCAUUAGCGUGUGUCCCACAGAGCCCUCAUGGACUUCUUCCAAGAUUUUCUUAGCCUCAAUAGCAUCUACACAUCUCAACAGUACCUGAUCCUUCCUUGUUUUGUACAGGAUCUCCCCGUCUAAGACAUAAUCACUGGCCAGUCUUCUCAACGUCCUUUUGUCAUUCUCAUUAGCUUGGUCGGGGUACUCACGAUUCUUCACAUAUCGCAGGAUAUCGUGGUACCAAGGGUGAUUAUCAUUUUCUUCUUCUUCUUUGAGGUUGUAGCAAUGAGCCGGAGCUUCAUAAAUGCUCAUUUGGAUUGGUUUCACAUCCUCUUGCUUGUUCACCUUGAUCAUAGAGGCUAAAGUUGCUAGGGCGUCAGCCAUCUGAUUUUCUUCUCGCGGGAGGUAGCAGAAGACAAUAUCAUCAAACUCUUUAAUUAAUUCAAGGAUCAGCCUUCGGUAAUUGAUCAAUUUGGGGUCUCUUGUCCCCCAUUCACCUUUGAGUUGAUAAAUCACUAGGGCAGAAUCUCUGUAUACUUCUAGCACCUUGAUUUUGUGCCCUAUGGCUGCGCGAAUUCCCAUGAUGCAUGCUUCGUACUCUGCCAUAUUGUUCGUGCAGUCAAAAUCCAAUUUACUAGUGAAUGGAUAAUGAUCUCCGUUUGGGGAUACCAGGACUGCCCCGAUUCUGUUACCCACAGCAUUUGAUGCUCCGUCAAAGUUUAGCUUCCAAGGAUGACCUUCUUGAGGGUCUUCUUCAGUGGUUGCUAUAUACAAUAGAUCUUCGUUUGGGAAGUUAAAGUUCAGAGGCUCGUAGUCCUCCAGGGCUUUGCUGGCUUGGAAAUCUGCUAUCGCACUCCCUUUUACGGCCUUCUGGUUCACAUAGACUAUAUCAAAUUCAGAAAGUAGAAUUUUCCAUUGGGCCAUUCUCCUGUUCAAAGCAUUUGACUCCAUCAAGAACUUCAGAGGAUCUAUUUUAGAGAUCAGCCAAGUUGUGUGGUACAACAUGUAUUGUCUCAGUCUUCGGGUUGUCCAGAUUAAGGCAUAACACAACUUUUCAAUGAACGAGUAUCUCGUCUCACACUCAGUAAACUUUUGAAUGAGGUAAUAUAUCGCUCUUUCUUUCCUUCCCGAUUCAUCGUGUUAGCCAAACACGCAACCCAUAGAAUUUUCAAAUACCGUCAAAUACAGUAUCAGUGGGUUAUCUGGACUAGGUGGUGUCAACACUGGGGCAUUAGACAAAUAUUGCUUAACUAUGUCGAAAGUCUUCUGGCAUCCCUCGUCCCAAACACCAGGGUUGUAUUUCUUAAGGAGACGGAAUAUGGGGUCACAUUUCUCGGUUAGUUGUGAAAUAAACCGAGCGAUGUAAUUUAAUCUUCCUAGAAAUCCCCGAACUUCCUUCUAAGUACGUGGUGGAGGUAACUCUUGCAUGGCUUUGACUUUAUUUGGGUCAAUCUCAAUCCCUUUUUCACUGACCAUGAAUCCUAGCAGUUUUCCUGACCUGGCCCCGAAGGUACAUUUUGCUUGAUUGAGUUUCAACUGGAAUUUCCUAAACCUCAAAAAUAAUUUCCUCAAGACUUGCACAUGCUCUUCUUCAGUCUGAGAUUUGGCGAUCAUGUCAUCGACGUAGACUUCAAUUUCUUUAUGCAUCAUAUCAUGGAAUAGGGUUACCAUGGCUCUCUGAUAUGUUGCUCUCGCAUUUUUCAAUCCGAACGACAUCACCUUAUAGAAAAAGGUUCCCCACAUGGUCACAAAUGUGGUUUUAUUCAUGUCUUCAGGAUGCAUCUUGAUCUGAUUGUACCCUAAAAAAGCAUCCAUGAAGGAGAAGAGUGAGCAACCUGCCGUGUUAUCCACUAAGGUGUCAAUAUGAGGCAACGGCAAAUUAUUCUUCGGGCUGGCUUUGUUUAAGUCUCUGUAGUCUACACACAUCCAUACUUUUCCAUCUUUUUUAGGGACGGGGACGAUGUUGGCUACCCAUUCCAAGUACUUAAAUACUUGUAAGAAACCAGCAUCAAAUUACUUCUUAGCCUUCUCUUUUAUUUUCAACAAAAUUAUCGGGCUGCAUCCUUCAAAGCUUUUGCUGAACUGGCUUGCAUUCUUCUUUGAUAGGGAGCCUGUGUACCACAAUGUCAGUACUUAGCCCAGGCAUAUCUUGAUAUGACCAUGCAAAGACAUCCUUGAACUCUUGGAGUAACUCAAUAAGGUCCCGCUUUUUCUCUGUGGUAAUGCAUGCUCCGAUCUUUACUUCUCUCUUUCCUAGUUCAUCUCCCAAGUUCACGACUUCUACGGUCUUUUUGUGGGGUAGAAUCUGUUUCUCCUCGUGUUCUAUUAUCCUUAACAAAUCAGGGGAUAAAUUACAGUCUCCGUCAUCUUCAAAGUCCUGAGAUCCUUCUAGACACAUAUCCCGCUCAAAAGGAGACUCUGAAUUAGUAGCAAUGUCACUCACAUCAUUGAUAUCUGGAGACCUGUUAUAGGUGCGAAGGAAGAUACAAAGAACAAGAGAAUCUAAGAAAAAUGAUAUGUAUGGUAUGAUCAUGAAUGAAAGAAUAAAAGAAUAUUUGCACGGAAUAAGUCAAAAGGAUGCAUUUCAUUGAAAUAACGAUUUCGAACAUAAGCCUAUUUCACAAAAGGACACUUAUUACUCCUAGGUCUAGAGCAAUAAGUGUGUUUUGGACAUUACUCUGAGUUAGUUCUAAAGACUAUAGGAAUCUCUUCCACAGUCCAAUUAUUCAGAACACUUCUCGGCUCAUAGGGGCGAAUGCCCGACAAAUUCUCUACCCCAGUUCCUUCUUCAUAUGUGGCGUUGAUGUCCAAACUCUCCAUCAUUCUUUCCACGAUUUCUUUUCCCGACGUCUUCCGCUCGGAGUGAAUGACCCCUCCAAACAUAAAAGUCUUCGAUAUAUGGGGGAAGAUCAUUGGUUCCCAUUCGAUUCCUCCUCCGCUGAAUCGCGCUCUCCUUCUUUCUUGCUUCUUUUCUAGCUCUUUCUUUCUUUGUUUCGUGUCUGGCUUAAAUCCUAACCCAAAACAGUCUUGUUUGUCCUUCAACAUUGGUGCAUUAAUCCUUCCCUGGACGUAUCUCCCGAGUCCUUUUCCUGGUAGGGCCCUUUUUCCAACAGUUAGUCGUAGUCCCAUUCUUGUAGUCUCAGGUAACCUGGGCAUUGGAAUCCUAUUUCCUUCGGUAAUGAAUGUCGCGUUCACGAACUCCAAAGAUCGAAAAGAGCACUCGAUUGCUUCGUUAUUUGCCUCUAGAUAUGGGGCGUCACUGGUUAUUGCUGCGAGGAUAUCUUCUUCAGCAUUCAUCGUUACUAACCGACCUUCGGUUACCAAUUUCAACUUCUAGUGCAGCGAUGAAGGGACUGCCCCUGCUGAGUGUAUCCAUGGCCUCCCCAAUAGGACAUUAUACGAAGGCUUAAUGUCCAUGACCAGGAAAUCUAUCUCGUAUGUGCUCAGCCCGAUUAAGAGGGGUAUUUCAAUUCUCCCCAUUACCUUCCUUUCCGUGCCAUCAAAUGCUCUCACUACACUUUGGCAUGUCUUCAUAUGGGAACUAUCCACUGGCAACCUACUCAGCGUAAAUAGGGGUAGGACAUUUAGUGCAGACCCAUUGUCAAUCAAUACCCCCGGUAAUGUGUGCCAUUUACAACGAGUCGUGACGUACAAAGCUUUAGUUGAUCCUCGACCCCCUGGCGGUACCUCAUCGUCAUUGAAGAAUAUGAAAUUGUCGGCACUUAUAUUGUUGACUAAGUGGUCUAGUUUGUUUACAGAGAUAUGGUUAGCAACAUAAGUUUCAUUCAGCACCUUCAUUAAUGCGCUGCGAUGGGUUUCAGAGCUGAAGAGUAAGGCCAGUACCGAUAUACGAGCUGGCUGUUUGUGCAACUGUUCUACGACACUAUAUUCGCUGUGCUUUAGGAAUUUUAAGAAUUCCUUUGAUUCUUUUUCAGUCAUUGAUUCAUUAACAGUUGGUUCAGGCCUCGCCGGCUUCUCUUUCUUUUGCUCAAUUGCUAAUGAUUUUUCUUUAACUUGCUCGACUUUUGUAUUUGGGGCAUAACGCCUUCCGCUGUACGUAUAAAAACACUCGUCUUGAACUUCCUCUGAUGCAUUAAUCGGGGUCUCCUCUCCCGGGAAUGUCACAUUGCAGCUAUAGUUCCACGGUACCCUUUUCCUAUCUUUAUAAGGGAAAGCAACGGGUUUUUAGAUCACAACCCUUGGCGCAACUUGUGCCCAGCUUCAUUCAUUCUCGGACGUGAUAUGAUAACUACUGGGCGGUUGACUUUGUAAACAUCCUUCAUCGAUCCCUCUUCGGAGGCACACACAUCUGUUUCUUUUGGGCUCCCGACAUAUUCGAAGAAUUCCAGCUCCUUAUCAUCCAUCAAUCAUUGUAACAAAGCCCUGAAUUCCCUGCAUUUUUGAAUCUCAUGAUCCUCUUGAUCAUGGAACUCGCAAUAAUUCUUUGCAUCUCGGGGUCUGACCCUUGAAUUCUGUGUUAUCAACCCUCUUUCCACCAUUUCCGCCAAAAAUGCCUUACAUUUAGAUUGAGACUUUCAUUUCUUGGAUGAUUCCACAGUUAUAGGUGUUGCAGUAGUGUCAUCAUCAAUUGAUCUAGAUUCUAACACCACUAAGUUAUGACUUAUGUGACUUGGGCAUAUGAGCAAGAAAGGCUUAUCAGUCUUAAGCAAACGAGGUUUGUUGUUUGACCAGUGUACGACGAAUGCAACACCUUAUACUCAACCCAGUUGUUGGACCUGAAAAUAAAAUGUCACAUUUCGUUGUCGAGGCAGCUCACUUUUUCUUUUUCUUUUUUUUUUAAAAGGAAACAUAGUGGUAAAAUUAAAUUAUAAAAAUUUCGGCAGCAUUUCUGUCUUUUUUACGAAAAACUCCUACAAAAAAUUUAGAUUUCACAAGGUAAUCACAUUCAAUUCAUCUCCCAAAUCAAUUGCCCACACUUCAAUCCCUCAAAUCAUACUAAUAAACUAGAUUUCUACAGUUUACUAUUUCAUCCAAAACAUUAGUUAUAAAAUACUAGCAAAGAAAACAUAAUGAAAAUAUUCAAAUUCAACUUAUGACAUAAUAUUAUAUAAAUACAAGCCUAGGUACAUGCCAUUUACAUCAAAUAUAAAGUAAACUCUUCACUAACAUUGUUUGAGCUGAACUUUGGUUAUUCGUGUAACAACCCAGUUUUAGCUAAAUAGAAACAGUAGUUUUGGGACCACAAAUAUAAUGUCAAAAAAUUAUUUUAAUAUUAUUUUUGGUGUUUAUAGCAUUUUAAUAUGUAUGUGUGAAAAUUUCGUGAACUAAUUUUAGCAUUUGAGUGCUUAAUUUGAUGAAAGGACUAAAUCGCGUAAAAUGCAAAAAUAGUAUGCUAUAAGUUAAGAGCGUCUAUUUGUUAUGGUUUAUUAAACCAAAUUUCUUUAUGAUGUUAUUAUGCCAUUGAUAAGGUUAAUGGACAUUUAUGGACAUGCAUUAUAAAUUUUUAAGUUUAUUUAUUAAGGGUAAAUAGGUAAAUGACAAAUUAAGUUAAUAAAAUCAUAACCAAACAUGAUUUUUGUCCAUCUUUCAUGCCUUAGCCAAAUUUUGAAGGUGAAAAAAACCAUUUUAUCCUCAUCUAGGGUUCGGUCCUUUGAAUCUUUGAUUAAUGUAUGUCUUUUGCUCGGUUUUUGAUGAUUUUUACAUUUUUAAGAUUAUUGCUUUGUAUUCUAGCUAGCCCGUGCCCUAAUUUUUGAAUUUUUUGAUGAUUAUGUGAAGUACCAUUGUUGAAUAUAUAUGAUUUGUGAUGGUUUUUGAUGAAAAAUGGAAGAUAAAUGUUAGAUUAAUAUGUUUUGUUAAGUGAUUUUUGAUGAAAAAGCCUAAAUAGGAUUAAAUUGUGAAAAUUGCAAAUUGAGGGGUUGAAAUGUGAAAUAAAUAAAAAAUAUGGGUUGUUAGGGGAAUUAUGGUAAUUCAGCCAAGCAUGGGUCUUGUUGAAUUGUGUGAAUUUUGUAUAAUUGUGAAAUAGGGACUAAAUUGUGAAAAUGUUAAACUUUAGGGGCUAAAGUGUAAAAAUGUCCAAAUAUGUGUUUGUGGACUAAAUUGAGUGAUUUGAUGAAUAAAUGAGUUAAUUUUGAAUGUAUAUAGAUUAAGAACUCAAUAAAUCAGAUUUAGAUCGGGAAAAAUCAAAGGUUAUCGAAUAGUAGUUCCAGUUCCUCUAUUUCGACUAUGAGGUAAGUUCAUAUGAAAAUAAAUGUCUUUAAAUUGAUUUAUAAAUGUUUACUCGUCAUUGAAUUUCUAUGAAUGUUGAAUGAGAAAAUAUGAGUAAGAAUCAACGAAGUUAUGAUAUCCGAAAGUCCCGUACGAACCUUAGAAAUAUUAUAGGAUACGAAUGUCAUGACAUUAGGAUUACCGAGAUGUGAUUACAUGUAAGACCAUGUUUGGGAUAUUGGCAUUGUAUUGUGAUUGCGUGUAAGACCAUGUCUGAGACAUUGGCAUCGAUAUGUAAUAACAUGUAAGACUAUAUCUGGGAUAUGACAUUGUACGAGCUAUAUAUGAUUUUCAAGUAUCUUUAACGAUUCCGAAGGGUUCAACAGGCAAAGUCAAGUUGAGAAAGAAUGUGUGAAUGAGCUAAGUGACUCAGAUACAUAUGAGAUUCAUACGAGUAUUGAAAAGGGAAGUAUUUGAUGAAUUCACUUAUGAAAUUGAAUAUUUAUACAUUUGGGAAGGUUUGUAAGCUUAUAUGUGCUUAUUCAUAAUUUGAUUAUUUGAUGGAAAUGAUGUUGAUUCAUGAGAUGGUUUUAUUUGUAUAUGGCUUACUAUGCUUUUUAAGGUUACUUUGUGUGUUCUUUCCUUGUUUUAUAGAUUAUUGAUGCUAGCUCGGAUAUCGGGGAUCAUCAGGAACCGUCAUCACACUAUCGACUACUUGUUGGUACUUUUGGAUGCUUUUAAAUAUGGUAUAUGACAUUUAUAGGCUAGUGUUAUGAUGAUAUGUUUUGAAUUAUGAUAUAGCCAUGAGAUUUGGCUUGUAUAUGAUGUAAAUGUGGGUGUGUAUUUGGCUAUUUGAUUUGGCUAGACUUAUGAAUUUGGUAAGUGAUAUAUGAUGUAUAUAUAUUGCUUUGUGUUUUGGCAUGUUUGGUAUGGUUGUUGUGAUGGUUAUAUGGUUGCUCAAUUAGUAAAUUAUCAAUGAUGUAUCAUGGUUGAGAAAUGGCAUGUUGUGAAUUGGUUUUAAGAUGAUGAAUUGAUAUGUUUUGAGACAUGAAACAGUUAAUAAGAUCGUGAGAAAAUGCAUAUAAAAGUUAAGGUUAUGACAUAUUGUUUUGGCAUGAUUUUGGUUGUGGAUUUGAGUAGUGAAAUGGAUGUAUUUUAAAUGACAUGAAAUGUGCAUGAAAUGGUCAUUUUUGGUUGCCUAUUGUAUGUAAAAAUAAUGCCAAAUUAAUGCUUUUAGGUACAUGAAUGAUAGGUGGGAAUAAUGGCUUAAAUCAAGCCUAUUUUCAUGCCACACGUUUAAGCACACGGGCGUGUGACUUGACCUUGUAAACCCUUAAGCGUGAUUAAAUAAGUUAGUGAGUUACACAGCUUAGACACACGGGCGUGUCUACUGGCUGUGUGUGACACACAGGCUAGCACAUGGCCGUGUGGCUGGUCGUGUAACCCAAUUUAGUAUACCCUCUAGUUUUCCCACGGCCAUGGCACAUGGGCGUAUCUCCGGCCAUGUGGUACAAGUCAGUAUGUAUGCCUUGUUUUCAUAUGGCUUGUGACACGUGCGUAUCUGGUGGCUGUGUGAGGCAUACGGCCUGAUCACACGAGCGUCUAAACCCUGUAUGCAUGAAAAUUUUCUAAGUUUUCCAAAGUUUUCAAAUGUUAUUUGUUUAGUCUCGAACCUCUUUCAAGCAUGUUUUAGGGUCUUGUAGAGCAUUAUAGGGGACAAUAUGAUUAUGUUUGAUAAAUACUUAUGUGAUAAUGGAUUCAUGUAUGAGAAAUGUAUGUUGUAUGAUGUAAUUGAUCAGUAAUGCCUCGUAGCUCUAUUCCGGCGACAUAUACGGGUUAGGGGUGUUACAUUUAUUGGUAUCAGAGCUAUAGUUUAAUCAAUUCUGGGACUAACGUAACGUGUGAGAGUCUAGCUAUACAUGUCAUAUAUAUAAACUGUGAUAAUGUGAAAAUUCCUGUAACACCCCUAACCCGUAUCCGUCGCUAGAAUGGGGUUACGAGGCAUUACCGAAAAAGAUACAACUUUCUUACAUUCACACAAUUACUCAGAUCAAAUUCAAAGGUAUACCUUUGUAACUUCAGUUUAUCAAUUCUUGAAUCAUUAAUACACAAAGCAUAAAAAAAAUUUAUUAAACUCACAUAUAACCAUUUUGUUAUCUUAUAACAUGAAUUAUUAUUCAUAUGGUCAAUUUCCAAUACAAUAACUGAAUAUUAAUACAUAUUAAAUACGUAUACUUUAUUCAAUGUCAGCUUUCAUUUUUCUCUAUUACUAUACACGCAUAUAACAUUUCAUAUAACCAAACCGAUAUGUUAAUCAUGAUUUACUUUUCUCAUCAAACACAUCACAAGUUUGUAUUUAUACAUAUAACAAAACAUUCUCUUGUCUAAUGCUAUAAAGUGUCAAGGCCAAAUUUAAACAUGAUAAUAUCACUUAAUACACAAGCUAAAUAGCAUGUGUAACCAUCAUAUUAUCAAACAAUCUACGAACCAUUUCUAAGCAUAAUUAUCAAAUCUAAACAUACCAAAAUUUAUAUACCAACAUUACGACAAAAUUACAAAUACAUAAUCAAUUCAUUUGGUCACCUAUUCGGCUAUCAAAAAUUAACCAUUAAAGUCAUACCAAUUCCACCAUUCAAUCUUAAGUUAAAAUUUACCAUUUGCAUAUCCGAAUACAAAUAUUAACUUGUCACUUAGUGACUAUCCGUUUAACUAACAAAACAUACCUCAUACAUAUUCUUUAUUUACUAAUAAGUACCGAAUCAAAAUAACCAUAUUAUUUCUAUAAUUUGCCGUUAACUCUUUAUACAUAUAACAAGAAUCAAACAUUAAACUAAUCAUCUUGACUUUUAAAUAUCAAACCACAAACAAACAUGUUACAUGCACACAUAUUUAAUUUAUCUAUCAUUAGCCGAAUAUGAAUGCACAUCAUUUAUAACUAAUGAUUAAAAACUUAUAAUCAUUAUCCAUAUUUACUUCAUCACAUAACCAAAUACCAAUAAUUCAAAUCAUAACCAUUUACCUAAUACAUCCCACUUAUAUAUCAUACAUAUCACUCAACAAAAAUAUCCAACCACAGUUUCACGUCAUACUAAAUUUUCCAUACGCAUAUACUUUGGCAUAACUUCAUCACCAUUAGCAAAUAUAUCAACCAUGAUUCACAUAUAAACAUAUAAUGGACGAAACAUCAAAACCAUAACCAAAACUUAUCCAUCAACCAUAUUAACCUCACUUACGCCAAAUUUUAGAAUCAACCACCUCACAAAAUAUACCACAAAUCAUACAUCCAAAAUGAGUUACUUUCAUGGCUGAUUAUGAUUCAUCAUUAACACAUCUCAUUUACGAAUCAUAUAAUCAGCAUCACAAACAUAUCACCAAAACACAAAUCAUACAUAUCAUAUACUAUGCAUACCAAAAUAAACUCUAACCAUAUCAAAUAUAACCAAAAUCAGAUCAAACCUUGAAACUGAACCCAAUAAAAUAAACAAGCCAUUUUCGCAUGGCUUAAAUAUAUACAUUUACCAAAUCUAACAUUUCCAAAUAUUAUCUAGCCUAUACAUGCCAUAGGUUUGAAAUUUAGCUUAUAAAGUACCAAAAACAGCCGAUAGUGUGAUAGACUUUGCUGACGAUCCCCGAGCUCGUAACUUGAUUCCAAAAUCUAUAAACAGAGACAAACAUACACACACAGUGAGCUAUCAUAGCUUAGUAAGUCAUAAGAAAAUAAAUAACUCAAUUUAACCAAACCUAUACAUACUAUUAUAACCACAUUUAAUUUCAAACUUACAAUUUCAUAGACAACAUAAACUUUGAUUUAGCCGAAUAUACAUAUAUCCUAUACCAAAAUAUCAUUCAAUAUCAAAAACCAGAAUAUCAUUAUUUAACUGAAUAUACAUAAACUCAUAUACCUAUAAUCAUGAAUCAUUUCAUAAAUAUUUACAUUGUAUAUAUUCAUAAAGCCGAAUAUAUUCAUUCAUAUAUGUUUGCACAUAGAUCACAAUAAUGAUACUACUAUAAAUAACCUUUGGCUGAAUGUACUAUUCAUAUACACAUAUAUUUUCAUUUACAUCAUAUAUAAAUUGCAUUACUUAUUAAAUAACAAACUUACCUUAUUUUCAAAUAGGUAAUAACUAACUCAUACCUGAUCACUUUAGCUUAAUUAUACAUUCGAUCACAACUUAUCAUUGCCCGUUGAACCAUUCAAAAUUGAAUAGGAUACUCAGAUAAUCACACAUAUCGUACAAUGCCAACGUCUCAGAUGUGGUCUUACAUGUAAUCUUAUAUCGAUGCCACUGUCCCAGACAGGGUCUUACUCGCACACAUAAAUUGGAAUCACAUAUCGAUGCCAACGUAUUAAACUUGGUCUUACUCGCACACAUAUAUCGGAAUCACAUAUCGAUGCCAACAUAUUAAACAUAGUCUUACUCGCACACAUAUAUCGAUGCCAUGGUCUUACUCGCACAUCAUAUAUCAGAAUCCUAUGUCAUGACAUAUGUAUCCUAGCUAUUCCUAAGGUUCGUACGGGGCUUUCGAAUGUUGUAACUCGAUCGAAUCAAACUCGUACACAUAGAUUCCAAGCUUAUACAUAUUCGGCUUCCACAUAAAUACUAUCACAUUGUUCAUUUUAGCAUAUAUAGUUUGUAUUUAAUCAAAUAAAUAACAUCUAUUUGUUUAUAAACUUACAUUGGACAACAAUAAUCGAAACGGGAUGACUAUUCGACAACUUUGGUUUUUCCCUGAUCCAAAUUCGAUUUCUUUUGUUCUUGAUAUAAACAUAUUCAAAUUAAACUCAUUCAAACAUAAUUAUAUUCAAUUUAGUCCACAAACACAUAAAUAGGAAAAUUACCAUUUUACUCUUGACAUUUUACACAUUUUACAAUUUAGUCCAAAUUGUAGAAAACAUAAAACAUGCAAAAUUUGCACACACCAUGCUUAGGCCGAAUGCUACCCAUGUUCAUACAAGUCCAUACAUUUUAUUUAUUUCACAUUUUAGUCCCUCAAUUUAUUAUGUUUGCAAUUACUCAAAAGCAUAAAAAAUUCCAAUACAAAACAUAUUAAUCCAAAACAUAUCCUUCAUAAUUCAUCAACUAACAUCACAAAACUCAAAUAUUCAUCAAUGGUAUAACUCAAAAUAUUCAUCAAAAUCAGAAAUACAAGCAUGGGCUUUGUACAUUACACUGCAACGAUCUCAAAAACGUAAAAAUUAUCAAAAACCGAGCUAGUUUCAUACCUUGAUUAAGCUUAAAAAUGGCUGAACCUUUGAAAACCUUUUUUUUCUAUUUUAUUUUAACAUUCGGUCAUGAAGAAAUAAAAGAAAAAUGCAUGAUGAAUUUUAGUAUAACAUAUAUUAUUAUAAUAACAUUUUAUUAUUCAUUUACUAAUAUAACCUUUAAUGAUUUAAUAUAACAACUUAAUAAUGCAUGUCAUUACCGUCUAUUCAUUUAUUCAAUGGCAUAAUUGCAACAUAAAUACUUCAAAUUAUAAAGACACAUUCAAUUCAGUCCUUACACAUUAAACCAUCAAAUUUUUAUUUUACGUGAUUGAGCCUUUUUAUUAAAUCGGGAACUCAAACAACAAAAUUAAAACACAAAAAUUUCACAGAUAUUAAUUCACACAUAAUAAACACAAAUUAAUUUUUAAAUAUUUUUCUGGCUCAGAUUCGUGGUCCCGAAACCACCGUUCUGAAUAGGGUCUAAAUCAGGCUGUUACAAUUCCUGACAGCUUAAAGUGUGUUUUCAUAUAGUAAAUGGAUCCCGAACGAGCUUUAGCUGACGAUGUGGAAAGUAAUGCGCCUGCCCUCGCUCAAGGGGUAGCGUUGACUGAUUCUAGGCUGAUUUCGAGUAGUCACGAGGGAGAGGCUAAAUAAGCCUUUUUCUAUAUGAUGAGUGAGUGGUUCACAGAGUUCGUUCGAACGAAUCCGGCUACUCAACAACCUCCACCCCCACUUGUUCCUCAACAAAUUCUCGUUGUUCCUCAAGCUAUAGAUCAGAUGCGAUUUAACAAGCCGUAAGUGGAUAAGAUUUAUAAACAUGGGGCUAAGGAGUUCUGGGCUACCGUUGAUGGCGAUGCUGAGAGAGCUGAGUUCUGGCUUGAGAACACGAUUCAAGUAUUCAAUGAAUUGUCUUGUACUCCUGAUGAGCGUAUCAAAUGUGUUGUAUCUUUGCUAAGAGAUAAUGCGUACCAUUGGUGGAAAACAUUGAUACCUGUGGUUCCAAGAGAAUGGGUUACCUGGGAGUUCUUUCAAUCUGAGUACCAAAAAAAGUACAUAAGUCAGCGAUUUCUCAAUCAAAAGCAUAAAGAGUUUCUAGAAUUGAAAUAAGGCCGGAUGACUGUCACUGAAUACAAAAGAGAAUUCGUAUGUUUAAGAAAGUAUGCCUAGGAAUAUGUUUCCAUUGAAGAAAAUGUGUAAACUGUUCGUUGAUGGACUGAAUGACGAUAUAAAAUUACUAGUUAGAAUUCUAGAGUUGAAAGAAUUUGUGGUACUCGUUGAAUGAGCUUGUAAAGCUGAAGAUCUUAGCAAAGAAAAGAGAAAAGCAGAUUUUGAAGCAAGAGAUUCGAGAAAAAGAUCAACUAGUAAACCUUAUCAAUCUGCAUCAAAGAAAUUUGAGACUCGUUCAAUCGUUCUAAUGCAUCGAUGAGAUAUUCAAGCAGAGAUAGUGAAAAACAACUUGUGAGUUCUAAAGCUCAAGCUACGUCCAUUGUUAGUGUUGGCAGUGUGAGACAAAAUCGAGCCGAGUGUAAACAUUGUGGAAAACGACAUAGCAAUGAUUGGGGAUUGAAUGAUCGAGCUUAUUUUAAAUGUGGAUCAUUAGAUCGUUUUAUUCGUAAUUAUCCUAAGUUGGCUGAGCAAAAUAAAGUACAAAACACGAAGCUGAGUAAUACUGCAGUUAAAGAUAUACCAUCUAGAAACACGAGAAAUGUGAGUGGUAGCCAGAGAGCUACUAAGGAUUCUACUGUGAGUUUAGAGGCCAGAGCACCUGCAUGAGCCUACACUAUUCGCGCUCGCGAAAAAGUGUCAUCUCCAAAUGUUAUUACCGAUACUUUCACUUUUUAUGAUACUAAUGUGAUUGCAUUAUUAGAUCUAGGAUCAACUCAUUCGUAUAUAUAUGUGAAUUUAGUAUCCAGUAAGACUUUGCCUGUAGAGUCUACUGAAUUUGUGAUUAGAGUAUCGAACCCCUUAGGCAAGUGUGUCUUAGUUGAUAAGGUGUGCAAAAACUAUCCAUUGAUGAUUCGGGAUUUCUAUUUUCUGGCUGAUUUGAUGUUGUUACCAUUUGAUGAAUUUGAUAUAAUUUUAGGUAUGGAUUGGCUAACGCUAUAUGAUGCUAUAGUAAACUGUAAAAGAAAGACGAUUGAUCUGAGAUGUCAGAAUAAUGAGAUUAUCCGUAUUGAAUCAGAUGAUUUGAAUGGUUUACUAGUAAUGAUUUCAUUGAUGUUAGCUCAAAAAUAUGUGAAAAGAGUUGUAAAGCUUAUUUUUCUUAUGUGUUCUAUACAAAUGUGACUAAAAAGAAGAUUGAAUCAGUGCCAGUUGUGUGUGAGUAUCUGGAUGUGUUUCCUGAAGAGUUACCGGGUUUACCGCUGAUCCAAGAAGUUGAGUUUGGUAUUGAGUUAUUGUCGGGUAUUACGUCGAUAUUGAUAACUCCGUCCAGAAUGGCACCCACAGAGUUAAAAGAAUUGCAAGGCCAGUUGUAAGAGUUGAUGGAUAGAGGAUUUGUUAGACUGAGUUUCUCUCCCUGGGGUGCUCCUGUGUUGUUUGUGAAAAAGAAAGAUGGCAUGAUGAGAAUGUGUAUAGACUACCGUUAGCUUAACAAAAUAACAAUCAAGAAUAAAUACCCUCUACCAUGGAUUGAUGAUUUGUUUGAUCAAUUGAAAGGGGCUAUAGUGUUUUCGAAAAUAGAUUUGAGAUCGGGCUAUUACCAGUUGCGAGUUAAAGACUUUAAUGUGCCAAAGAUUGCAUUUAGAACGAGGUACAGACACUACAAAUUUCUUGUUUUGCCCUUCGAAUUAACAAAUGCACCUACUAUUUUUAUGGACUUGAUGAACCGGAUUUUUAGGCCGUAUUUGGACCGAUUUGUAGUUGUGUUUAUUGAUGAUAUCUUGAUCUACUUUCGUGAUGAAUCUGAACAUGAAGAACAUUUAAGAAUCGUGCUACAAACUUUGAGAGAUAAACAGUUGUAUGCAAAAUUCAGAAAUGUGAGUUUAGCUACGAGAGGUUAGUUUUCUAGGACAUAUUAUUUCAGCUGAUGGUAUCUUGGUUGAUCUGAGUAAGAUAUCUACGAUUAUAGAUUUGAAGCCUCUGAGAAAUGUUUCUAAGGUCUGCAGUUUUCUGGACUAGCGAGAUAUUAUAGAUGAUUUGUGAUAGUCUUUUCGAUGAUUGCGGCUCUGAUGACACGAUUGCUUCAAAAAGAUAUUAAGUUUGAGUGGUCAGAUAAAUGCCAAAAAAGUUUUGAGCAAUUAAAAGCUUUAUUGACUGAAGCUCCAGUGUUAGUUCAGCCUGAGUCGGGUAAAGAAUUCAUAAUUUUUAGUGAUGUAUCGUUAAAUGGCCUAGGUUGUGUUUUGAUGCAGGAAGGCAAAGUUGUAGCUUAUUCCUCGAGACAGUUGAAGCCACAUGAAAAGAAUUAUCUGACAGAUGAUCUUGAAUUGGCUGCAAUAGUGUUUGCGUUGAAAAUUUGGCGUCACUAUUUGUUUGGUUAGAAAUGCCACAUCUUUACCGAUCACAAGAGCUUGAAAUAUUUGAUGACUCAGAAAGACUUGAAUUUGCAACAGCGGAGAUGGUUAGAAUUAUUAAAAGAUUAUGACUUGAUAAUUAACUAUAAUCUGGGAAAAGUGAACGUAGUUGCUGAUGCUUUAAGCCAAAAGUCCUUAUUUAGUUUAUGUACUUUGAAUACACAUAUGACUUUGUCUGAUGAUGGUUCGUAAUAGCCGAGUUGAAAGCGAGACCGUUGUUCAUACAGCAGGUUUGUGAGGCUCAAAAGUUUGAUAAUGAAUUGUAAGUAAAGCGGGUUUAGUGUGAGUUGAAUCCUGAUUCAGAGUUUCAAGUUGAUUUCGAUGAUGGUUUGAGAUUCAAGGAUCGAAUAUGUGUUCUGAGAAAUUCAGAGUUGAUUCAGAUGAUUUGGAAUGAAGCACAUAGUAAUUGUUUAUCAGUGCAUCUAGGAAGCACGAAAAUGUAUAAUGAUUUGAAACAACAUUAUUGAUGGCAUGACAUGAAACGAGAUAUCUCAAAAUUUGUUUCAAAAUUUUUGAUUUAUUAGCAAGUCAAAGUUGAACAUCAAGUGCUGUCAGGUUUAUUGCAGCCAAUCAUGAUUCUUGAGUGGAAAUGGGAUAGAGUGACAAUGGAUUUUGUAUUGGGUUUGCCUUUAUCUCCGAGAAAGAAAGAUGCGAUUUGGGUUGUUGUAGACAGAUUGAUGAAAUCAGCUCAUUUUAUCCCUGUACGUAUAGAUUUCUCGCUUGAUAAAUUGGCUGAGUUGUAUAUCUCUGAAAUUGUUUGAUUGCACAGAGUGCCAUUAUCUAUUGUUUCAAAUAGAGAUCCGAGGUUUACAUCGCA